UGAUAUCAUGAUUUGUUCUGGUCGCAGAGAAUUAGUGACUUGGGUUAAUUUUUAGGGCAUAGUAGAAUGUGGUGUACAUAAUAUUAAUUUAGAUGUAUUGAUUUGGAUAAAUAGUUUGUCCGGUCACCAUUAUUCCAAUUGUGUAUUUCGACUGCAUGUGAUGUUUUACAGGUGAGCAAUUUUGUUAAAUUUCUAGGUUGACUGAUUAUUUCAAUUGAACAUUUUUGAGAUGGAUGAAGAAAGAAACAGUGAGGUCAGAGACGUAAAUAUUUCGGCACCAGAAAUUGGAAUGUCUUUUAUCAAUUUUGAAGCCGUUUUUAAUUUCUAUAAGCAUUACGCACAAGAAUUAGGAUUUUGAGUUGUAAAGAGGACAACUAAAAUGACUGAUGGCAAGGCUACGUAUGUAAUAAUCGCAUGCUCUCAUCAUGGAAAAAUGCAUCGGACCAUGACGAAUCUUCGUCCUCGUCCAUCGGUGGUGAAGACGAACUGUCUUAUGAGGAUAAAUAUGGUAAUAAAUGCGGAUUCAUCUUGUGUAAUAAGUAAAAUUGUACUUAAGCAUAAUAACAUCCUAAGUCCUUAUAAGUCUCGACUUUUUCCCUGCAAUCGAGUUAUAGAUCUGAGCAUCAAGAGGCGGCUUGAUCUUAAUGAUCGUGCUGGAAUCAGAUUGAACAAAAAUUUUAAUUCUAUUGCUGUUGAAGCUGGUGGGUAUGAAAACUUAACAUUUGGAGAGAAGGAUGCUCGUAAUUAUAUUGAAAAAGUCCGUCGGUUACGACUUGAUGAAGGUGACGGCGAGGCAAUUUAUAAUUAUUUUAGAGAAAUGCAAGAGAGAAAUGAAAACUUUUUUUAUGCCAUAGAUCUAGACGAUGAUUCUCGGCUUCGCAAUGUCUUUUAGGCAGAUGCUCGGAAUAGAGCGGUGUAUGAAUGUUUCGGAGAUGUAAUUACUUUGGACUCGACAUAUCUAACAAAUAAGUACGAUAUGCCAUUUGCUCCUUUCGUUGGUGUUAAUCAUCAUAGACAGUCGAUCUUGUUGGGAUGCGGCCUACUCUCCACUGAAGAUACAGAAUCGUUUGUAUGGCUCUUUUGGAAUUGGUUAUCAUGCAUGUCCGAGCAUGCCCCCAAAGCAAUAAUCACAAAUCAAGAUAAAACGAUGCAAAAUGCUAUCGCACGUGUCUUUCCUGAUACUCGGCAUCGAUGGUGCUUAUGGCACAUUACAAAGAAGAUACCGGAGAAGCUAAGAAGCUAUGGCGAAUAUCAUUCGAUUAAGAGCUUUAUGAUGGAUGCUAUUUAUGAAUCACUGACAGAAAUUGAAUUUGAGGAAAAAUGGAAGAGAAUGAUAGCUUGUUACGGACUUCAAAAUAAUGAAUGGUUGUCAGGCCUAUACGAGGAAAGACGUAAGUGGAUACCAGUUUAUGUGAAGGAUACAUUUUGGGCUGGAAUGUCCACAACACAGCGAAGCAAAAAUAUGAAUGCAUUUUUUGAUGGGUAUGUGAACUCGAAAACUUCACUAAAACAAUUUGUUGAGCUGUAUGAAAGCGCUAUAAAGAAUAAAGCUGAAAAAGAAGUAGAAUUAGACUACAAAUCAUUCAGGUCAGUCAUACCGUGUAUCAGCCGUUAUGCAUUUGAGAAGCAAUUUCAAGAUGUGUACACGAUUGCGAAAUUUAGAGAAUUUCAGGCAGAGCUUAAGGAAUUAAUGCAUUGCGAGACAUCUUUACUGCCUUCGAAGGGCAGUGCGUAUUCUUAUCAAGUUAAUGAGUAUGGCGUCGGAGGUAAAGAUACAGCCUUCACAGUAUAUUUUGAUGAGGGUGGCUUUCUAGUAAGUUGUAUUUGCCGUCUAUUUGAGUAUAAAGGUAUUUUAUGUCGACAUUCAAUUGCCGUCCUAGUUUAUAGGAAGUUGGUGAUUGUCCUAAAUUCUUACAUAUUAACACGAUGGAGGAAGGAUGUCAGACGAAGGUAUACCCGCGUGAAGACAUGGCAUAAGAACUUAGGGAGCAUCGCUGAAAUUUAUCGAUACGAAGUAGUAUGUAGUAAUAUGUAUGACAUUGCAGACAUAGCUGCUGAGUCCGAUGAGAAAUGUGAAGUUGCAUUACGUACGUUGCGAGAUUUGAAGACCAAAUUGGAAUGCACUUCAUCAUCCAAGGGGAGCAAUGAUAUUGAAUAUUCGCCGAUUGCGGCAACACCUUCGAAUGGUGCGACGGAUGAUAGAAGUAACGACCGGAGAGUUCUAAGCCCGCUACCAGUUCGCAGUAAAGGCCGCCCGCCAAGCAAAAGAAAAGAGUCGAUGACUGAUAAAGUUGUACGACGGUUGAAGAUGAAAGGCAAUAAGCAACAGGUAUAUCUUGAUCUACCUCAAUUAAUUUUUUGUUGGAUUCUAAUAUACAAUAGACGACAAUGAUUGAUAAUUAUUCAUGAUAUAUUUUAACAGGUUGGGUAACAUUGUGGAGAUAGGAUAUAUAAUGGUGAAUGUUCCAUCUAUAAUCGUCUCUCAUCAUCUCACUCGACCUCCUCCCAACAGAGUGUAAAUAUUUUAUGCAUUACUAUAUCUAGAUUUUUUUUCUAAUAUUCGAUAUAGUUUGUUUUGACUAUUUGUUUUUAAAAUUCUGGAUCUCUUAUUCUAUAAAACCAAUUGGUUUAUUAAAACAGGUUCAUCUACAAAGUCCUAAGAUUAAUAAUUUGUCGCCAAGUGACUUACCUUAUGGGAUCGGUGUACACAUCGGCCCAGUCAUUAUCGUAACAGUAAUAGAAAUUAUAUUUCUUAUGGACGGUUCUUUAAUACAACUUUAUCUAUAUAUAAAUAAUAUGGUUUAAAUUUUCUUUCUUUUAAUAUCAGACAACGUGGGACCCCAAAAAUAUAUCUGUAUCAUCAGAUCCUAUCAUGUAUCCUUAUAGAGUGGAUAUUAGUCCUCAAUCUUCAAAUCAGAAUCCGGCCGCUCGGACGCACAUGCCACACCCGACUCAUUUGCAACAGGUAUUGACAAAGUCUUGAGACAAUCUAUAUAUGCGUAUUGUAUUCUUGGCUUUAAAUUGAUCCUAUUAACCUUUUAAACAGUUGCAGGAAAAGGAAAUCCCGCAGGAACAUCAAUUUCAGCACGGUGGAAGAGCACCGCCCACAUGAAAUCAGCAUCCAUUGUAUUCACUGUACUGUUACAGAUUCAGAAUUGAUAUGUGUUGUACCUGCUUGUUUGGGAGUGUCGAAUUAUAAACAGUGAUUUAACAAUAUUUCGUAUUUUUCUUGUUGCUAUUGUAGCACUGCAUGUAAAUUGACAACAAUGUAAUGACGUGCUUAUAUUCCUCAUAUCUAGCAAUAUUGAAUGUUCUUGCUUUCUGUUUAGUAUAUGAGUAAUGUGUGUAUAUAUUGGUGAAUUUGUGUUGCAUUAUUAUACUCAAUGUAUAUUUAUAUAUAUUUAAAAUGCUAUGCAUUACACACUGCUUAUACAUAUUUCGUCUUAUGAUGUAAAGGUGUUGCUCUCCAUUCUUGAGGUGUCAAAGUAUAGUACGUGUUAACCUCCAUGAUCAGACGUACUAGUAGCUUAUACCAAUAUGAGUGGCUCUGUUUUAAUGAAAUUUGAUUGUUCUAUCUAACUGUACACCUGUGCAAGAAACCAUAUAUAGGUAUUCCUUUAGUAUACAUAGCAGCUACUUAUUCCGCUGCCAAAUACCUUUCAAUUUAUUGCGACUAUAUAAAUGAAUUGGUGACAUAUUUUCUUUUGCAAAUCUGUACCUUCUUCAACUUGAUGUAAUGCGCAGGCUUUGACAGAGAGGUACGAUUCCCUAGUCCAAUGUUAAGGCCGCCCGCUAAACAAAAGAAAAGUUAAUUAUAAUCAAGUAUAAGUAUUCUAUUUGAAUAUUAGAAAUGAUUUACCAUUGUACGUCUUGUUGUGUGACAAAUAAUCCCACAUCGGAUGGGAAUAGGGUUGUCAUUGGGUUUAUAAGAAGACUUACACGCUAACAAUAAUAACCAGGCUUAAGCAUUUUGGGCCGGUGGUUUGGCCCAACGAGUUAUUGUUGCUAGCGGGUCGGGUCGUUGCAAUUGGUAUCAGAGACGAAUACCAGCCGAAAGUAUGAGAGCUAAGUGCUAUGCGGGACAAAGUGCUACACCAACGGGUUUGGUGGGAGCCACCUCUUGAACCCGUAGGAGCCACCUCUAGAAUCUCACAUCGCUUAGUAAUUUCGAUCCUGGUCUGUCUGUCUGUGAUCUGGUUUGGACCUGACGAGGACGUCAGGGUCUAAACAUGGGGAGUUUGUAACGCCCCUAAAAGUCCCACAUCGGAUGGGAUACUGAUUUCGAUCAGUUUAUAUGAGGCCUACGUGCUAGUAAUAAUAACUGGGUUUGAGCAUUUUGGGCUAUGGUUGGGCCCAACGAGUUAUUAUUGCUAGUGGGUUGGGUCAUAACAUUUGGUAUCAGAGCCGGUUCACCAGCUAGACAUGUGUGGCGAGUCUCGGCUGAGCCAGAGUCUGGAUGACGGGCUAGCGAGAUAAGUCUCACAUCGCCUGGUGAUCUUGGGCUGUAUGUGUGAUUGGACUGACGAGGACGUCAGGGCCUUAACGGGGGGAGUCUGUGACACCCCAAUAAUCCCACAUUGGAUGAGAAUGGGGUUGUCAUUGGGUUUAUAAGAAGACUUAGACACUAGUAAUAAUAACCGGGCUUAAGCAUUUUGGGCUGUGGUUGGGCCCAACGAGUUAUUAUUGCUAGUGGGCUGGGUCGUAACAGUAAUGGUGUAGAGCACACCCAUAUAUCUAGGGAAAAGUGAUAUGACCACUUUUAUAGUGAAGACAUGAUUUUUCAGAUCAUAGCCAGAAACGGAACACUAAUAUGGCUAUUCGGUACACUUUAAGCCUUGGUUGGAACACUAAUAUAUUUGACAGUGCUAAUCAAGUCUUAUAAAAAAAUGCUCUAGCUAUGGCUUUACCGAGGUCCAUCUAUAGUGCUAAUGGCACACUCAUAUAUCUAGUAGUGAUAUGUGCACUUUUAUAUGGGAGAUGUGAGGAAGUGAAUUCUCAAAAUACGAGGAUUAGACUUCAUCCCAAAUCGACCAAGGGUCGUGUUGGUGUACUUUGGAAAAGCCAANUAUAUGGGAGAUGUGAGGAAGUGAAUUCUCAAAAUACGAGGAUUAGACUUCAUCCCAAAUCGACCAAGGGUCGUGUUGGUGUACUUUGGAAAAGCCAAUGGUAUUAAAAUCACCAAAAGUGCAUUGGAAACAAAUCCAUGAGAGCAAAUAGUGCAAAACAUGCACCGGAGCAAAACUGCUCUCGGGGACCGAUCCUUGGCAGGGAUGGACUGGUCCCAUCAGCUGGUGUUGCGGGGUUGCUUGGGGCAACCGUCCCUGGUAGAGAGGGACCGGUUCCUGAACGCGAACCCAGCGAGAAAGCCAGAAAUUGGCUAAGUCCUGAAAAUAUUGCUUUCGGGGACCGAUCUCUCAGGCAAGGACCGGUCUCCCGGGGACCGGUCUCUCAGGGAAGGACCGGUACCCGAACGCGUGUGUAAGGAAGUGAAUUCUCGAAACUCGAGGAUUAGACUUCGACCAGAAUCGACUAUUCGUCGAGUGAGUAGGCUUCGGAAAGCCCGAAGGCGAUUAUAAUGCAUAAAGUGCAUUAAAGAAGGGUCCGCGGGAGCACCAGUGCAAAAUCUGCACUGGAGCAUAAAUGCUCUCGGGGACCGGUCCCUGGCAGGGAGGGACCGGUUCCAUCAGGCUGGGUUGCGGAGGUCUCUGAUGAGACCGGUCCCUGGUGGGCAGGGACCGGUUCCCGAACGUUGGCCCGACGAGAUUUAGCCAAAUUUGGCUAAGUCCCGAGAAUGCAGCUCUCGGGAACCGGUCUCUCGGACAAGGACCGGUCUCCCGGGGACCGGUCUCUCAGGCAAGGACCGGUUCCCGAACGCGAAAAUCCCUCUGCUCGAAAUGGCAGCCUUCGGGGACCGGUCCCAAGUCGGGGAGACCGGUCCCUCACUGCGAAAAUGCCCAAUGAGGGCUGAUUCUAAAGAUGAAAAGUUGAGGGGGCUAGUUGCAAAAUGGCCUUUAAUAGGGCUUGGGGAUCUCUCUCUCACCCUCAGUUGCUCUCUCUCUCUCUCUNNNNNNNNNNNNNNNNNNNNNNNNNNNNNNNNNNNNNNNNNNNNNNNNNNNNNNNNNNNNNNNNNNNNNNNNNNNNNNNNNNNNNNNNNNNNNNNNNNNNNNNNNNNNNNNNNNNNNNNNNNNNNNNNNNNNNNNNNNNNNNNNNNNNNNNNNNNNNNNNNNNNNNNNNNNNNNNNNNNNNNNNNNNNNNNNNNNNNNNNNNNNNNNNNNNNNNNNNNNNNNNNNNNNNNNNNNNNNNNNNNNNNNNNNNNNNNNNNNNNNNNNNNNNNNNNNNNNNNNNNNNNNNNNNNNNNNNNNNNNNNNNNNNNNNNNNNNNNNNNNNNNNNNNNNNNNNNNNNNNNNNNNNNNNNNNNNNNNNNNNNNNNNNNNNNNNNNNNNNNNNNNNNNNNNNNNNNNNNNNNNNNNNNNNNNNNNNNNNNNNNNNNNNNNNNNNNNNNNNNNNNNNNNNNNNNNNNNNNNNNNNNNNNNNNNNNNNNNNNNNNNNNNNNNNNNNNNNNNNNNNNNNNNNNNNNNNNNNNNNNNNNNNNNNNNNNNNNNNNNNNNNNNNNNNNNNNNNNNNNNNNNNNNNNNNNNNNNNNNNNNNNNNNNNNNNNNNNNNNNNNNNNNNNNNNNNNNNNNNNNNNNNNNNNNNNNNNNNNNNNNNNNNNNNNNNNNNNNNNNNNNNNNNNNNNNNNNNNNNNNNNNNNNNNNNNNNNNNNNNNNNNNNGAGAGAGCAAGAGGCAGGAGAGAGAGAGAAAGAGAGGAGUGUGAGGGAGAGAGAGGGCUCAGCCCACUCAAAUAAAAGCCAUUUUGCAUAAAAAGCCCCUCACUUUCACUCCAAGUGCACUGCCCUCAGUGGGUAGCUUUCGCGCGGAGGGACCGGUCUCCCGACUUGGGACCGGUCGCCGAGAGCUUCCCCUCGGGUGCACGCUUCGGGGUACGUUCUCUCCCCAGGAGACUGGUGGUCCUCGGGAGACCGGUCCUCACCUGGGAGACCGGUCCCCGAGAGCUCGAUCUUCAGGACUUAGCCAAUUUUUGGCAUCUCUCGCUGGGACCACGUUCGGGAACCGGUCCCUCCCUGCCAGGGACCAGUUUCAUCACGCAACCCCACUACGCCCAGCCAGGGGAACCGGUCUCUCACCUGCAGAGACCGGUCCCCGAGAGCAACAUCAGCCCAAUGAUGCAGUUUGCCUCAUUUGCUCUCGCGGACUCAACUCCAAGGCACCUUUUGUGCUUUGGACAUUCUCAACUCCCACAAAGGGUAUACUUUCGACAAUUAGUCGAUCCUGGAUGAAGUACAAUCCUCGUAUUUCGAGAAUUCACUUCCUUACACGAAUCAAGAGAAACCGAGCUUCCAACCUUCCCCCGUUGAUGUGGGAGGAAUUUCGGGGAUUGUACUAUGUUAACUACUUCCCCGAUAGCGAGAAGAAGAAGCUCCAGGAGUAGUUUCGAAAGUUGAAGCAAGGGAACUGCACGGUAGCAGAAUAUGAGCGGGAGUUCUAUCACAUCAUUGACUGCGUCCCCGACGUAGUGCGGGAUGACAGGGAUCGAGCCGAUUGGUUCGAGCGAGGGUUCCAGGCUGAUAUCUACCGGGCGGUGCACAUUCUGAAGCUCACUACCUUCGCGGAGGUGCUCGACAGAGCGUUGUGGGCGGAGCAAGGAAACGCUCACAUCCGGGAGGAGCGAGAAGCGUCCGAGAAGGACGGUGGCAAGAAGCGGGCUCAGAGUAGCUCGGGAGUUCAAAGCAAGUCAAGGAAGCCCCCGAAGUACCCGCUAACGCAAUCCAAGGGCCGCGUACCGCAGCGAUGCACGAUCUGCGGUGGGAAGCACGAGCCGAGGACGUGUGAUCAACGGAAAGGGAAGUGCUUCACGUGUGGACAGGCGGGCCAUAUCAGCCGCUACUGUCCAGUGAGGGCUUCGCCCGCCCCUUCGAUCGCGUCGGCUCCGGCGACUCCGGCGCAUUAUGGAGGAGUCCUACCUGCUGCAUCAUCGACUGGACGUGCGAUGGUACCUCGCCAAUCUGAGGCGACGAGAUCGGCUCCGAGCGGGCGGGUGUUUGCCGCUCAGAUCCAAGCCGAGGAACCUGCUGAGGCGGAGGAUCGCCAUGUACUCGCAGGUAUGGUUUUAAUUAACGGAGUUCGCUCCAGGGCUAUGUUUGAUACAGGUGCUACGCAUUCAUUCAUCAGUAGGUCAUUUGCACGCAUGCAUGACAUAGAACUACAAGAGAGUAAAAGCACUUGGAGGGUAUCGGGCCCCGGACGUGAUUUUCUAGUCCGGAUGGAGUGUUCGUCUUGUCCAGUGCGGUUGGGCGAUUAGAUAAUGCCCAUCCGUAUGUUGAUGUUCAAGAAGUUGAAGGACUUCGACGUCAUUCUAGGAAUGGAUUGGCUCUCGAAGUACUAUGCGACUAUUCACUGCAGAAGCAAAGUAAUAAUGUUUCGAGAGCCGGGCCAGGAGGAGUUCACCUACCGGGCUUGUAGAAGCUCGCGCUUCACUGCUAUGGUGUCAACGACGAGGGCGAAGAGGUUGAUUAACAGCGGUUGUACGGCCUAUUUGGCGACCGUCGUGGAAGUCGAGAGGAUGACUCCUACGCUCGAGGAACUAUUCGUAGUUCGGGAAUUUCCAGAUGUAUUUCCCGCGGAGUUGCCGGGAAUGCCGUCAGACCAGAAGAUCGAGUUAGUGAUAGACUUGGUUCCAGGAACCGCGCCUAUCUCGAAGGCUCCCUAUCGGAUGGCGCCGGCAGAAUUGAAGGAGUUACGGGCUCAGUUGAUAGAUCUCCUUUAUAAAGGAUUUAUACGGCCAAGCGUAUCGCCGUGGGGAGCCCCGGUUCUAUUCGUGCGAAAGAAGGAUGGAUCGUUUCGACUCUGCGUAGACUAUCGCAAGUUGAACAAAGUCACGAUCAAGAAUAAGUACCCGUUGCCCAGGAUCGAUGAUUUAUUUGAUCAGUUGCAAGGAUCUCGGGUUUAUUCAAAGAUUGACCUACAGUCCGGUUAUCAUCAACUCAAGAUCAAACCGGAAGAUGUUCAAAGGACCGCAUUUCGCACGCGGUAUGGACACUAUGAAUUCACGGUCAUGCUGUUUGGGCUUACUAACGUCCCGACAGUGUUCAUGGAUUUAAUGAACCGUGUCUUCAAGGAGUACUUGGACCGAUUUGUUGUGGUCUUCAUAGACGACAUCUUGGUCUACUCGCGCAACGACGAGGAACAUGCCGAGCAUUUGAGAAUCGUGCUUCAAAUCCUUCGGGAGGAGAAGUUGUAUGCUAAGUUUAAGAAAUGCGACUUUUGGCUCCGAGAGGUUGCAUUUCUUGGGCAUGUCAUUUCCGAGGGAGGAGUAUCUGUUGACCCGAGGAAAGUGGAGGCAAUCAAGGAUUGGCCUCGCCCGACUAACGUCACGGAAGUUCGAAGCUUCGUGGGUUUAGCGGGUUAUUAUAGACGGUUCGUGGAGGGAUUUUCGAAGAUCGUGGGUCCACUUACCCGUCUCACUCGAAAAGGCACCAAGUUUAUUUGGAGCUACGAGUGCGACCGGAGUUUCUAAGAAUUGAAGGAUAGAUUAACUUCGACUCUGGUGCUCGCCUUACCGAUGCAAGAUGAAGACUUCGUGGUGUAUAGCGACGCGUCACAAUCGGGCUUAGGGUGUGUUCUGAUGCAGGGCGGAAAGGUGAUCGCUUAUGCGUCCCGUCAGCUGAAGAGCUAUGAGAAGAACUACCCUGUCCACGAUUUAGAGUUGGCCACAGUAGUGUUUGCUCUCAAGUUAUGGAGGCACUACUUGUAUGGCGUGCGUUGCGAGAUAUACACGGACCACAAAAGUCUGAAAUACCUUUUCACACAAAGGGAGCUCAAUAUGCGGCAAUGGUGGUGGUUGGAAUUGCUAAAAGAUUUCGAUGUAACAAUCCUAUACCACCCCGGAAAAGCAAACGUGGUGGCCGACGCGCUUAGCAGGAAGUCAGUGGAGAAUCUUGCUAUGUUGGUCACACGUCAAGAGCCACUGUGGAGAGAGAUGGAACGAUUGGAUCUCGAGGUGGUAGCUCCGGAAAUCCCGUCUAUGCUUACGGCUCUCAUUGUCCAACUGACCUUGUUGGAGUAGAUUAAGAGUUUGCAAUCUGCGGAUCCUAAUCUCCAAAAGGUGCGGCGGGACAUCGAGAGUGAACACGGCAGCGAUUUCAGUAUAGGCGCUGAAGGUACGCUUCGAUUUCGAAACCGAUGGUGCGUGCCGGAAAACGAGGAGGUCCGGAAGUUAAUCUUACAAGAAGCACAUCGGACUCCUUAUAGCAUUCACCCGGGCGGCACCAAAAUGUACCGUGACCUGAAGAUGCAGUAUUGGUGGCCGGGCAUGAAAGCAGACAUUGGGCGCUAUGUAGCACAGUGCCUAGUAUGCCAGCAAGUGAAGGCUGAGCGCCGAUUUUCAGCGGGAAAGCUUCAAAGUUUAUCUAUUCUCGUUUGGAAAUGGGAGAAUAUCGCGAUGGACUUCGUGGUCGGAUUGCCCCGUUCGACAGGUGGCCACGACGCGAUCUGGGUGAUUGUGGAUUAUAUGACCAAGUCGGCACACUUUCUACCAAUUCACACCACCUGAUCGGGCGACAAGUUGGCGCAGGUAUACCUGGGUGAAGUUGUGAGGUUGCAUGGGGUUUCGAAGUCGAUCGUGUUAGAUCGAGACCCCCGUUUUACUUCGCACUUUUGGAUAAGCCUGCAAGAAGCACUUGGCACACGGCUCGAUUUCAGCACCGCGUUUCAUCCUCAGAUAGAUGGACAGUCAGAGAGGACUAUACAGAUUCUGGAGGAUAUGUUGCGGGCAUAUGUCAUUGACUACAAGCGUAGUUGGGCAAACUACUUGAGAAUGGCCGAGUUCGCCUACAACAACAGUUACCAAGCUAGCAUCGGGAUGGCACCGUUCGAGGUCCUAUAUGGGCGGAAGUGCCGAUCCCCUAUAUGUUGGAGCGAUGUAGGUGAACCUGCGGCAUUGGGCCCAGAUGUAUUGCGAGAGGCGGAAGAGAAGGUCCGUCUUGCUAGCGAGAGACUACUUACGGCACAGUCGAGGCAAAAGAGCUAUUCUAACAAACGCCGUAAGACUUGGAAUUCGUGGUAGGUGACUGCGUUUUCUUGAAGGUUUCGCCAAUGAGAGGUGUGAAACGCUUCGGAGUGCGGGGAAAGCUAAGUCCCCGAUAUAUCGGACCGUUCGAAGUGUUGGAACGUAUUGGAGCCGUAGCGUAUAGAUUAGCAUUACCGCCGAAGCUCGCGGGCGUGCAUAAUGUGUUCUACGUCUCCAACCUUCGCAAGUAUGUCCACGAUCCCGAGCACGUUAUGUAUUACGAACCGCAGGAUCUACAAGAGGAUUUGAGCUAUGAAGAGUUCCCGGCGAUGAUCAUUGCUCGAGAAGUGCGAAAACUGAGAAACCGCGAGAUCCCCUACGUGAGGAUUCGUUGGACCAAUCACGACGAUCGUGAGGCCACGUGGGAACUCGAGGAAACGAUGAAAGUGACAAUCCUCAUCUCUUUGAGGAAAUGCAAUGAGGUAUGAGUUAAUUAAGUAAAUGAAUUCGUUUCGAGGACGAAACUCCUUUUUAGGAGGGGAGGAUGUGAGGAAGUGAAUUCUCGAAAUAUGAGGAUUAGACUUCAUCCCAAAUCGACCAAGGGUCAUGUUGGUGUACUUUGGAAAAGCCAAAGGUAUUAAAAUCACCAAAAGUGCAUUGGAAACAAGUCCACGAGAGCAAAUAGUGCAAAACCUGCACUAGAGCAAAAUUGCUCUCUGGGACCGGUCCCAUCAGCUGGUGUUGCGGGGUUGCUUGGGGCAACCGGUCCCUGGUAGAGAGGGAUAGGUUCCUGAACGCGAACCCAGUGAGAAAGCCAGAAAUUUGGCUAAGUCCUGAAAAUAUUGCUUUCGGGGAUCGGUCUCUCAGGCAAGGACCGGUCUCCCGGGCACCGGUCUCUCAGGGAAGGACCGGUACCCGAACGCGUGACCCGAGCUGAAGCUCUCGGGGACCGGUCCCAAGUCGGGGAGACCGGUCCCUCCGCGCGCAGAACGCCUAGUAACGGCAGUGCACAGAGUGAAAAGUUGAGGGGGCCAGUUGGAUAUUGUUACAAUAUGAGGGCUUGUGGUCCCUCUCUCUUUCUCAGCCCCUCAUUUCCCUCUUUCCCUCAUUCAUACUCUCUUGCUCUCUCUCUCUAGAAGAGAAGAAGAAAAAGAAGAAGAAAAAGAAAAGAGAAGGAGAAGAAGGAAGAAAAGGAAGGAGAAGAAGAAGGAGACCAAGAAAAAGAAGGCGUUGGGCUUCUUCCUCUUCCUCUCUUCUCUCUUUUGAGCUAACCUAGAGGUAAGCUUCUAACCCUAGUUUAUGAAAUUUAGGGUUUUUGGGUUUUAGCUCUUUGGAUGGGGUCAAAUGAAUCCCUAGCACCAUGAAUGGUAAGAUUGGAGCUAGAAUCUAGGAUUUUGAGACGGGUCUAGCUUGAUGUUAACCCUAGGGCACCAAAAAUGGGGUUUUUGGAAAAGUAGAGGAUUGAUCUCAUUUGAGACCAUGUAAACCUAAUUGCUAGGUAACGAAACGCGGGAGCGAAGUCGGAAUUUCGAUUCGUCGAGCGGGUCAAGAGCUAUUGGCAAACUAAGGCCGAUUGAGCAUUAUUUAAACCAAGAAAACCAAGGCUUCGUCGUAAAGAACGCCGAAGCGCAUUUCUAGAGCCUCCGUAUACACAAAAGGUGGGGGGUGUCGUCCCGAAACAUCCGGGUUUCUUUUUAUGUCUAAGUUAUAUAUAUGUUGAUCAUAUUGCAUUAUAGGAUUAAUAGAUGUAUAUUUCCUUUUCCUUGCAUGCUUCUUAGUAGUGUACUUAUGAGUCGAACACUUGGACUAGGGUAGCAUGAUGAUUGGGUCUUGUGACAUAGAAUCCUAUAAUGGCAUAAAGAGCCGAACUUGGACAUAGCCUAGUAGAGUGGCAUUGAACUAGUGUGAUAGAAGCACUAUGACAUUAACGAGUGGGCAUGUAGAAUAAUCGAGACAUUUACUAUAAUGACUGAACGAGUGGCAUCGAGUCUAGAGUAGUAAACUUGACAUGAACCUAGGGAUAGUAGAGGUCCCGACAUUGAUUAUACAUCAUGAUUGUGCAGCAGAGGCACAUUGACCCUAGUAGACAGGGUAUCCUCUUGUGAGGAUUGGAUCAUACUCACUAGUCUGUUUUGCUUGUCGGUGGUCUUUCCACCGAGGCACGAGUCUCCGGAGUACUUCACUAGGGGCAGACGUAGUUGUCCCGCAGACGGUCUCGGUGUGCGAGUGCAGCUUUUCCUCACCUAUGAGAUUAAGAGUGAGUCGAGGGUUAACCUACGGGUCAAACCAAGUAGAUUGGGUAAUAAACAUGAAAUGCAUAGUAGACUUGCAUUAUUACCUCGAGUAGACAUAGUGUAUGUUGUAGAUUACAUUGCUAUGUACUUUUGUAUACUCAUGACAUGACUCUAGCAUGAUGGUAGUUGUUGCAUGCAUUAUUAUCAUCGAUGGCAUGAUAGAGUAGUUGCAGUUUAUCUUUUAUAUAUCUAUUUAUCUCUCUAUCUGUGCCAGCUUAGACCUAGUGAAAAAACCGGCGGCGUCGGCGGCCGAACCCACUGGGAAUUAUAUUCAUAUAGUUCUCACCCCAUGUGGUUUUGGGGUACAGGUACACACAGAGGCGAGCUGAGCAAGGAUCGCGGCAAGGGUAUAGCGCCCUAAGUGAGCCUAGUUAGUAGCUUUCCCUUUAUGCAUUAGAGUACCCUUGUGUACUAGAUGUUUUGGAUAGUUGUUGGAGAGCUACUUGUAUUUUGAACCAAACAUGUAUUUACAUUUUGGAAAAUGGAAAUGUAAUAUAUUCAAAUGAUGUAAAUGUUGAAUGGUUGUAUUAGCUAGAUGUACUCUCUUUAUACACUUGUAUUUUAGUCGUGGUUCUUGCUCUUAGCUAUUGUGCACUUGUGUGCAUCGUAUCGAUCAUGUAUAUUAUUUAAGCAUAUCCUGGACGCUUAAUUGUACAUGAUCUGGUUGCUUGGCCUUGGACGGACAGGAGAGGUGCUGUCCGUUCGGCGUCUGUUCGACGCGCCCGAACCGGACCAAAUUGGUAGUGGUUUCGGGGCGUGACAGGAGACCUGAUUUUUUACAUUAUAGCCAGAAUCGGAACACUUAUAUGGCGGUUUGGUACAUGCGAAGCUUUAUAUGGCACACCUAUAUACAUGACAGCCAAUCUAUGUACCUGCCAGUGAUAGGCAACAACGGAACACGUAUACGGCGGUUCGGUACACUUUACUCCUUGUUUGGAACACCCAUAGCUGCACAUAUAAAUACCCACUACAUGCUAGAUGGCCCUUACUAAAUUAGUUUGCAUUUGUAACCAAUCUAUAUUUCUUGGCAAUGGAUGAGGUAAAAAACUUAUAUACCUACACUCCCAAGUGCAUCCACGAUGUAGCGGGGCGGCCAUGGGUACUUGAGCAAGACGACAGGUUCUCGUACCCAAUACCAGUUCGCGCUCUCUAUUCCCAACAGGUAUAUGAGCAGAUGCUCGAGGAGUGGGAAUAUAGGGUCUCAGAAUCAAAUGAUAUAUUUGAGUAUAUGAUGGUAAGAGGUAGUGUAUACACGCGCCGUGCUAUAUUUCUUCCUAGAAAUGAUGUAAACACAUUACUAACUUCUUUAAAUGUAAUAUGUAAGGAAAAUAACGAAAUGGCCUUAAUGAUGCUUGAUGAAUAUCCAGAAGUGUCCACGCCGAAUCCCCGAACCUAUUCUAAUUAUUUAAGACUAUCAGAUGAGUUCAAUCUUGCUAAGCGAAGAUCGCAACUUAGCAGAGAUGCUUACUGGAAUGCUUUGUAUGCUGAAUGGGCUAAUCGGUUUGGAGAAAUUAUGCAACUUGUUGAGGACCUCUUUGCUGUGUUAGCCCCUAUUCCUCCAGUUCCUUUCACAUUUCCACCAGGAACCUCAAGAUUACUUGCGAGAGAGAUUGUUGCAAUGCGAAAAACAGUUAAAAAAAUACUGGUGCGCUGAGCUAGGCACGCUAUGGUCUCACAUGCUAUCAGGUUCUUCAAAGAUAGUAGCAUAGAUAUUAAUAGCAGUAUAUAUCAUCGUAUCGUAUUGUAUCCCGACUAUGCAUCGGACUUUUACCUAUCAGAUGCCGAAUGAUGUAUAAUAAUGGUAUUUACAAUACUACGAGUGUACACUUUUUAAUGCAGGGUUGGAAUCUUUAUAAUGUAUAUAAACCUGAUAUGGUAUUUCAACGUAUUGAGUUUAGAAUUUUCUCAUGCAUCUAAAACGUUAUUUUCACUAUAAGUGAGCAACAAAUGUUCCCGUAUUUAUGUGUAAUUUCAGUAAGAUUUCCUAAUCUGAUGUUCUAUUGUAUGCAAAGUUAAUUAUAUUCAAUUAUAAGCAUUUCAGUUAAACGGAAAACUAUAGAACUAUUUCGUACAUUUAUAGGGUAGGGUUUGCUUUUACAGUUAUAGCUUAAUUUGGAAUAAACAAUGAGCACAACGGAUCCUAUCAUCACUACUGUAGGAACAACCAUAUAUAUGACAGUGCUAAGUAACUCAUAAAAAAAGUAAAGAGCUAUAGCUGUACCGAGGUGCAUCUAUAAUGGUGUAGGGCACAUCCAUAUAUGUAGUGGUGAUAGGACCACCUUUAUCUGCCAACCUGAUUUUGUACAUCAUAGACAGAAACAGAACAGUUAUACUGCGGUUAGGUACAGCUAUCGCCUUGGUUCGAACAUCCAUAUAUAUGACAGUGCUUAGUAACUUUCAUAAAAAAAGCCCUAACUAUAGUAUCGAGGUGCACACCCAUAUAUGUAGGGCACACCCAUAUAUGUAGUAAUGAUAGGAGCACUUUUAUUUGCCAAUCUGAUUUUACACAUCAUAGACAGAAACAGAACACUUAUACUGUGGUUGGGUACAGCUAUCGUCUUGGUUGGAACACCCAUAUAUAUGACAGUGCUAAGUAACUUUCAAUAAAAAAGUCCUAACUAUAGCUGUACCACGGUGCAUCUAUAAUGGUGUAGGGCACAUUCAUAUAUGUAGUAGUGACAGGGCUAUUUUUAUCUGCCAACCUGAUUUUGCACAUCAUAGCCAGAAACGGAACACUUAUACUGCUGUUGGGUACAGCUAUCGCCUUGGUUGGAACACCCAUAUAUAUAAUAGUGCUAAGUAACUCUCAAAAUAAAAACUCUAGCUAUAGCUGUACCGAGAUGCAGUUAUAGUGGUGUAGGGCACAUUCAUAUAUGUAGUAGUGAUAGGACCACUUUUAUCUGCCUACCUGAUUUUUCAUAUCAUAGCCAGAAACGGAACACUUAUACUGUGAUUGGGUACAGCUAUCCCCUUGGUUGGAACACCCAUAUAUCUGACAGUGCUAAGUAACUCUAAAAAAAAAAGCUCGUACCGAGGUGCAGCUAUAGUGGUGAAGGGCACAUCCAUAUAUGUAGUAGUGAUAGGACCACCUUUAUCUGCCAACCUGAUUUUGCACAUCAUAGCCAGAAACGGAACACUUAUACUGCGGUUGGGUACAGCUUUCGUUUUGGUUGGAACACCCAUAUAUAUGACAGUGUUAAGUAACUCUCAAAAUAAAAGCUCUAGCUAUAGCUGUACCGAGGUGCAGCUAUAGUGGUGUAGGGCACAUUCAUAUAUGUAGUAGUGACAGGACCACUUUUAUCUGCCUACCUGAUUUUUCACAUCAUAGCCAGAAACAUAACACUUAUACUGCAGUUGGGUACAGCUAUCCCCUUAGUUGGAACACCCAUAUAUCUGACAGUGCUAAGUAACUAUAUAAAAAAAAUCAAAGAGUUAUAGCUGUACCGAGGUGCAUCUAUAGUGGUGUAGGGCACACCUAUAUAUGUAGUUGUGAUAAGACCACAUUUAUCUGCCUAACUGAUUUUUCACAUCAUAGCUAGAACAGGAAACACCAAUAUCACUCUUGACAUGAUCUAUAAGGAUAACAUAGCAACACUAUCUCUUUUGCAAACAUAACAGUACUAUAUCGUCAGCAGUCAAUAUUACAUAUUGAAAUAACAACUAUCAUAUUUUUCAUACAAAUUUUUCACUUUCUACGAGAAUAGAAUUUUAACACACAAAAUUGCUAAAAUAAAUACAAUAAAUAUCUUUCUCUCAGUUUCGAUCCUUUCCGUCAAUGCUGUUGUUCUUGUAGAAACUUCUGCAACUUUAGUUUUCAAGUUCUCUAUUUGCUUGGACAAUAUAGAGAGGUUGUUAUUUAAGCUCUGAAGUAUCUUCUCAUCGGAUUGUUUUUGGGAAGAUGCUGCUGAUUCAAAUGCCGAGGUUUUCUUCAACUGUGAGAGAUUUGAACUUUCUCCUUAUGAAUGUUCUUCUUAUCGCAGCACAUGAAAAAGUCAUAGUAAUUUUCAUUUUUCUUUCCAUAUUUGCGACGACCAUAAAAUUGUCUUCCUUUACUUCUAGCUUGUUGUGAAGAUCUAAUUAUAGCUAUCUCAUUACAUUUGCACAAAACUACCCUGUCUUCAAGAGAACUUGCCAUCAGCAAUCUACACAAAAUGGUAAAACAAGUUAAAAAAAAAAGACUAACAAGUAAUCAAAUGAACAGAUCUUAAAAAAAAAGGCUAACUUAAAUUGAUCAAAUCAACAUAUUUAAAUAAAUGAAGAAUACAAACUGAAAUUUAUCCAAUGCACAGUUUCAUACACUGGAAUAACUAGACUUCAUGAAUGGUUUUUAUAUUCUUCUCUUUUCUAUCAUGACUUUCGAGUGAAUGCAAAGUUUCGUGGUAAAUAAAAACUAUGACACCGAUUGAANAAUAUACUCACUUAAAUUGAUCAAAUCAACAUAUUUAAAUAAAUGAAGAAUACAAACUGAAAUUUAUCCAAUGCACAGUUUCAUACACUGGAAUAACUAGACUUCAUGAAUGGUUUUUAUAUUCUUCUCUUUUCUAUCAUGACUUUCGAGUGAAUGCAAAGUUUCGUGGUAAAUAAAAACUAUGACACCGAUUGAAGGCAUCCCUGAUGUUUCAAAAAACGAGUAAUAACUACAAAAAACCAAAAAUAAACAUGUUAAAGUUUGUGGAUUGAUGUAUUAAGGUUGCAAAAACAAAUUUGAAAAUCAUAGAAACAAAUUCCCAAACAAACAACAUAUGAAAAAUUGUAGAUCUAUUUUAUUUUAUGUUGCAAAAAAUAAUAAAUAAAAGUCAAAAAAUAUAUCAUUGGUAAAAAAAAUCAGACCUCGUUUGAUAGAGAGGGGCGACGCGGAGAGCGGGGGGUGGCGUCGGAGGAGGGCGGUCACCAGGGUUUGUGCGCACAGAAGGAGGGCGGCGAGCAGAGGGCGGCGUCCAGAGAGAGAUCGAGAGAGAGAGAGAGAGAGAGAUAGGGAGAGUGGGGAAGGAAGUGGGAAGAUGUUGAGAGAGAGAGAGCAUUUACGAAGAGAGAGAGAGAGAGAGAAGCAACAAACGGUUUAAUUUUCAAAUUUCAAAUUUCAAUUUGCAAUUUGCAAUUUUCUAAUUUCAAUUUUCAAUUUUCAAUUUUCAAAUUUCAAAUUUUAAAUUUCAAAUUUCAAAUUUCAAAUUUCAAAUUUUAAUUUUUAAUUUUCAAUUUUAAAAUUUAAGAUAAAAGUUCAAAUUUGACAUUUUAGAUUUUAAAAUUUAAAUGUAAAAAUAUAAAAUUUAAAUUUUGUACAAUUUUGAAAUUUAAAAAUUUUAAUUUUAAUUCAAAUUAAAAUAUAUUUUAAAUUAUUUUAAAAUAAUAUUUAAUAAAAUUAUUAAUUUAUGCAAAUAUUAAAAAAAAUUUGCCAAACAGCUUUUCAAAAUCACUUUAGAAAAAUCACUUUUAUCUAAAUUCUGCCAAACGCUCUACGACUUUUAACCAAAAUCACUUUUCCAUUUAUACUACUUUCAGGAAAAUUUGUAGUGUUAAAGGGAACACCUCUAUACCUGCCACAUCUAUAUGUCCACUUCUAUAUGGUAGGCUAAGCCCUGUAGUGCUAUAGCUUAGGAUGGAACAGUUAUACUACUUCCAGAUACAUCCGUAGUGUUAAGGGCACACCCAUGUACCUGCCACAUCUAAAUGGCCACUGCUAUACGGUAGGUUUUGCUUUUGCAGCUAUAGCCUAAAUUGGAACAGUUAUACUACUCCCCGAUACAUCUGUAGUGUUAAAAGACACACCCAUAUAGCUGCCACAUCUAUAUGUCCCACUUCUAUAUGGUAGGCUUUGCAUCUAUAUCUUUAAAUGGGACAGUUAUAGAGAUCAUGCGUGUAAUAUACCGAGAAUUCGGAAAAUAAAUGUCGAACUUUAGUCAAAUUGACUAAAGUGCGAGGAUGGUACACUUCGGAAAGUCCGAAGGUGUUAAAAUGAGCAAAAGUGCAUUGUUGGAGGUCGUCGAGAGCUUAAAGAUUCAAAAUCUGCAUUCUGCAGGUUUUGUGCUCUCGGGACCGGUCCCUGAAGGAGAGACCGGUCCCCGUACGCGUGAGAACUGAGGAAAGCUGAAAAUCGGCUAAGUCCUGAGAAGGCAGGCUUCGGGAACCGGUCCCUGCCGAGAGACCGGUCCCCCGGAGACCGGUCCCCCAAGAGAGAUCGGUCGCAUCGCGCGGGAGCCUUGGCUGCUGCUGGGACGAGCUACGGGAACCGGUCCCUGGUCGGGAGGACCAGUCCCAGCACACGAAAUCUGCCCAGUCCAGGCAGUGUAUUGAGGUGAAAGUUGAGGGUUUUAACUGCAAUUUUGCAACCCAUAGAGUAUAGUAUGGGGGGAAAUGAGAUGUUUCUCUCAUUUUACUCCCCCUCACACUCUCUUCUCUCUUUCUCUCUCUAGAAGACAAGGAGGAGAAGAAGAAGACAAAGGAAAAGAAGGAAAAGAAGGAGAAGAAGGUGGAGAACAAGAAGAAGAGUUGAAGCAACUCUCUCCUCUCCUUCUCUAGCUUGGAAAAGGAGAGCUUACAAGGUAAGCUUUGAACCCUAACCAUGGUAGAACCCAAACUAGGGUUUGGAUUAUUAGGCUAAGAAUGGUUUUUAUAGAACCUCUAGAGUAUUUGAAGCUUUCUUUUUGCUUCUUUUGAGAUCAAGACCAUGGCAUGAGUGUAAUGGGUGAAGCUUGAAGGUGAGCUUGACCCCUCUCAUGGUAGAAUCCAAACUAGGGUUUGGAUUGAACUAAAGAUGGUUUUAAUGGACUUCCUAGAGUAGAAUGAAGCUACUUUUUCUUCCCAAUGAGAUCAAACCCUAGGUUUUCUUAUGCUAUGGAGCUAGGGCACCUAAAUUGGGGCUUUUGCUCGUGGGAAUUUCUAAGUGAAAUUGACCCUCUAGAAACCUAAUUGGGGACUAAACGAACGCGUUGGUGCGCUCGGUUUGAGUAUACGAAAAGCCAAUGUAAAGGUAUGAGCAAAAUGGCCUAAUAGGGCUUCGUUUUGCCGCAGGUAAAGAACGAAGGGUCUAAAAAUCCCAAGAAAAUCAUCGGAGCACCUUUGAAAACCUACGAGGUGGGUGGUGCUUUUCAAACUCGUUGAAUUUCUCUCUAUGCCUAAUGUGUCAUCCAAUUGAGCAUAUGUAUAUACAUUGUUGCAUGCAUUUUAGGGUAAAGCAAUGAUAAAAAUGUGAUGUUGCAUGAUUGUGAGUACAACUUGCGUAAUGUGAUGGUUAAGAACCUUAUGAAUGUCAAAAACCCUAUAUAUGUAUGCAUGAGAGAAAAUGUGAGUACCAAAGUGAGGCGAAAGAACAGAGUGACACAAUGAGACAUAGAUCGAGUGGCAUUUGGUAAUGUAAAGUAAAGUGACACUAGAGGUAGUGUGAGGCAAAGAAUCAAUAUAAUGUAAAGAAUAAUGAUAAUAACUAAAGUGAAAACAAAGUGGGGUGUAAAGAACAUGAAUGCCAAAGAUAGCCAAAAGUAAAGAAAUGUAAAGAACAUGAUUGCUAGAGUUAGCAAAAGUAAAGAAAGGUAAAGAACAAUGAUUGCUAGAGUAGCAACAUAAAGUGAUGUAAAGAACACUAGAAUUAGUGUAAAGUCAAGAUUGAACAUACAAUCGUUUGAGUUAAGGAUUCGAUCAUACUUGUUAUGAGUUCCGUGCUCGAGGGCGGUCGCUCCCCCUCGGGCGAUGCGCUCCGGAGUUUUGCAUCACGGGUUGGAGUAAAUCCGAGGACGGUCUUAGCGGGAGGAAGCUGAGGGCCCGCGAUGAUGGACUUAAUGUGAAGCAAGUUAAUGUGGCAAAACCCCCGGGUUAGCCUUGAAAUUAAAGAACAAAGAGUAAAGAACAAAGAACAAAGACAAAGUGUAAAGUGCAAAGAACAAAAGAACUUGCAUAAUCUGCAUAUGUUAAUGUUGAGCAUAUUUCCUGCUUAUUGUUCAGGCAUAUUAGCAUCAUAUUAUAGAUUGGUUACUAUAUGCAGCUUUUCCUUUCUAUUAUGCCUGAGUUAGUCCUAGUGGGAAAGUCGGUGAGAUUGAGGCCGAACCCACUGGGAACUUUGUUGUAGUUGUCAUGCCCCGCGACCAACCGCCAAUUCGGACCGGGUCGCGGCGCCGCUAACAGACCGCUGAACGGACCGGGGUUUCCCCUGUACGCGGACAGAGUCUCCCCUGAAUGUUCUAGGCGUCGCAAUCCAAACAAACAACGAGUGUUCCAACUAGGAACGGAUAUCAAUCCAGAUUGCAAAGGAAGUAUCAAAUAUAUAAACUACUUGCUAAUACAAGCAUUCAUUUUCACUCACUUAGAACAUCUCAGUUUCAGUUUACAAUUUACUUCCAAUUACAAUCACAUUAUUACAUCAUUUAUUUUGCAAGCUUGAUACAUUUUGAUUCCUUGCUUUCUAGGCCCCUAAGCUAGACUGCCUUAGGGUACUGCUACCUCGGUCUCUGUGGUAGAGCACUAUCUACUGAGCUACGCCCUCGCCUCGCGCCACCGCGCUGCACACGUACAACUUGAAAACACCCCAAAACCACGUGGGGUGAGAACCAACACCAUGGUUCCCAGUGGGUACGGCCACCCAAGGGAAAAGCUCGACCGAUAGGUCCGAGGAGGCACCGCAACAUGUUAGUUCAACAAUAUACAACAAAUAUAUAUUCAAUUGAAAUACAUGCCAUGCCUCACGAUAUGCGAUAUGGAAAUCAUGCAACUCUAUGCAACAUCUAGUAGAUCAUUUGAUCCUACUCAUUACCUGGCUACUCUUAGCUCAAUUCAUCAACACUAAGGUUUCUAUUACCUUAGGAUCUCAACUCAGUUCACUGGCUUCUAAGGUCUCUAUUACCUUAGCUCAAGCCCCUAUUUCUAGCUCAUGAGGGUUCCUCUACCCUAUUGAAGCUAACCACACGACUCGGCUCCGAGUCAAUCAUCCGCGGAUAGCACGCGCACUGGCUGCUCAUCAGCCUACCGUCCUCUCUGUCUUAGCCCCCUAGCGGCGAAGUCGUCGCACACGCUAAGCCUGGCUCAAGUCGCACGACUUGACCAACUGGCGGCGAUCACGUUGCUCUUACCCAGCGUGAGCUCGAGUCAUGACAUACCGUCUGGCGGUGAACGGAUCGCACCACACCCAACAACGGUACAUGUCGGACUCAGCCACCUCGAGGCACCCGUAUAGUACUUACCCAGCAUGGAUUCAGUCUGCUCUGGCGGUCUGAUCCUCAAAUGGCUUAACCAUCCUGGCGGCGAAAUCGUCGCACAAACGCCACGGCAAUGGUUCAAGCCCCGGGCGGUGAUCUCUAUGUGAUCGCCCCCAAUCCUCCCUCGGUACCAAGCUCGGCGGCGAAGUCGUCGCACAAACGCCCUAGCUUCUACCAGGGUCAUCACAAGUCAUGGGAUUCCGGAAUCCACUUUCCACAGGUCGAGGGUCCAUAGCCAACCCUAUACUUUCGACCUAUCUCAUCCUAGUGGCUAUACCACUAUACUCAUCAACCUAGAUUCCAAUACUCUAGGUUCUAUGUCCAUGUCACUUAACCUAGAUACACUUGCUAGGUUCUUGUCAUCUUUACCUAGAUGUCCACUUCUAGGUUUACUAGUUCGACCUAGGUUUACUAACACUAGGUUCGAUGCCACACACCUAGAUUGCUCGACUCUAGGUUUACUUGUUUAACCUAUGUUCUUUAACACUAGGUUAGAUGCCACUCGAUCUACCUGACAACCUAAUUGUCCAAUCAUCUCAGCUCACACUAGAGUUAUUAUCUAGUUCAUAUACAUGUACUCCUAGCAUAUUCCUUAAUGCCGAUCAUGUAUUCUUACUUGUCAUGCUCAUUAUGCUUCUACUUAGCACUUUCAUCUAUGCAUUAUUGUUAUCAUGCAUUCUUUACUUAGCCUUUACUUUAUGCAUAUUUAUUAAUGCACCAUUUAGUCUUGUCUACAUGCAUAUGCAUCAACAUGAGAUUACAUUGCUAAGACAUAAAGGUCGACCUAGUUGCUUCGGUAAGCACAAUCCACCUUAAUAGCUUUUUCGAUUGCUCGUCGACACUUGCAAUCGGCUUCCCGCGGCACUCGGCACCCGUUUGGGCCCGAUCUCACAGUUGCUCCUCACGAGCGCGCCGCUUCACCGUUUCAAGUGCUAACGAUCUUUGCCUUGCUGCUACGGUGCUCGGGACCCGAUCUCACGAUUUAUGGACGUCGCCUCGGCCUCCCAGGCGGAAACAAAGCUCCAAGCAUCCGUUUCUUCAAUAUCUUUGCAACGGCUUGUCGGAUUGCCGAACCGACUUCGCCAACGUGUUUCGUUACCUACCAAUUAGGUUUACGAAGGGUCAAAUAAGAUCAAACCCUCCCAAAUCACAAAAUCCCAUUUUGGAUGCCCUAAAUGCCAAUACUACCAAAUCCACCAAAUCGAUCUAUGAUUUGGGUAUUAUCCAUCUAGAUAGCAUGCUAGGGUACUAAAAAUACCAUUUCUAGGGUUUAAAAACCGAUCUACAAAAAUGUCACGCCCCGAGCCCGCCUAUUUGGUCGGUUUCGGGCACGCCGACAGACCGCCGAACGGACAGGGUUUCCCCUGUACCGCGGACAGAGUCUCCCCUGUACAUUCAAGGCGUCGCAAUCAAUACAAUGUACGAAGUUCCAACCAGGAACACAUUUCAAUCAAAGAUUGCAUAAGGAAGUAUCAAAAACAUAAGCUACUUGCUAUUACAAGCAUUCACAUUAUUUAGAUACAUUUUACAUCACAAUUACAUAAUACAUUUAACUUCCAAAUACAAUCAUGCUUUUAUUACAAAUUAUUGCAAUCUUAUCCCUUUCAUUUUCUUACAUUCCUAAGUAAAGCCGACUCAGGAUACCGCUAUCUCUGGUCUCGGUGGUAGGGCGCUAACUACGGAGCUACGCCCUCGCCUCGCGCCGCCGCGCCGCUCACGUGUGAACCUGUAACACCCCAAAACAACGUGGGGUGAGAACCAACUCCAUAGUUCCCAGUGGGUACGGCCACCCAAGGGAAAAGCUCGACCAAUAGGCCCAAGGAGGCACUGCAAUCAUGUUAGUCCAAAAACAUCUAUAUAUAUAUCACCAUGUUAUUAUACAACUAACAGAUAACAUGCCUCACAAAAUGCGAUAUGCAAAACCUGUAACUCAUGCAAGUAGUUUACUUGAUUCUACUACAUAUUAUUAGUCAUUCUUUACAUGUAGCCGUUCUUUACUUAUUUAACUAUUCUCAUUCAUUAGCUAUUCUUUACAUCAUUUCCUUGUUACAUUAUACUCAUUGGCGGUUCUUUAUUCUUUGACAUUCUUGAUUUUUUGAUAUACUUUAGCAUUUGCCGUUCUUUCCUAAGAUUACUUUACCUUAGCCAACUAUGCUACUCGACUCGGUCUUGAGUCAAUCAAUCGCGGAUAGUCCGCGCUCUGUCUAGCCCGAGGUGAAGGAACUCUCUCACAUGCACCUCAGCUAACCACAGCCUACCGUACUCCUGUCCUAGCCGUCUGGCGGCGAACGCAUCGCACCUCACCCAACAACAGCCUAGGUCAUGACUUAGCCACCCGGCGGCGAAAUCGUCGCACACGCCACGUCGAUGGUUCAGUCAACAGGCGGUAUGAUCCACUAACUGGCUAACCAUCCGGCGGCGAAAUCGUCGCACACGCCACGACAAUGGUUCUAUAGCCCCUGGGCGGCGAAAUCGUCGCACACAACCCACACCCCUCUCGGUGUAUCCAUUUAGCUUUGGGAUUCCGGAAUCCAUUUCACAUCACAUAAGGGUUGGUCUUAUCCCUAUAGAAUUGACCUAUCUAGGUCCAAGCCUUUACUCAACCUAAGUUAUACUUUAGGUUUGCUGCCUCCAUACUCAUAGCCUAGGUUUAUUAACUCUAGGUUCAUUACCUUUGCCCACCUAGGUUCAUGUGAUUCUAGGUUCGUUAUCUUUAUCUUACCACCUAUGUUCUCUAACAUUAGGUUUAAUGCCACUUGAUGUCCAACUUAUGUUCUUUGACACUAGGUUCAUAUCAUCCAUGUUCAACCUAUGUCCAUGACUCUAGGUUUAAUGCCACUCGAUCUAAUGUAUAUAGAUUGUCCAUAUGCACAUUAUACUAGUUUUCCAAUGUCGAGUUCUCUAAUCAACCUAGAGUUAUCGACCCCAAGUUUAACAUGUACAUGUCAACAUGCAUAGUUCAUCCUACAACAUGCAUAGUUCAUCUAUCACACGCAAUAUGUCAUUUACUUAGCAUUCUUAUUUUAGCAUCCCUAAAACAUGCUUAUCAUACAUGAACUUAGCAUUAUCCAAAUGCAUGCUUAUCAUGUAAUCUUUAGUAUUACUCAAUGCAUUCAUCUAGCAUUAUUUACACUAAGUCAUCAUGCAUUCCCUUUAUCAUGUUCUUAUAAUGUUAACAUUCAUAUGCCCUUUAUCUUAUGCAUUCAAAGCAUUAAUCACAUGCAUUUCUCUAGCAUUUCUAUAAUAUGUUAACAUGCAUUAAUAUGAAAUCUCAUUUCUCUUAGACAUACAGGCGACCUGGUCGCUUCGGUAAGCACAACCCACCUCAUUUCGCAUUCCGAUUGCUUGUCGACACUUGCAAUCGGCCGCCCGCGGCACCCGGCACUCGGUUUGGCCCGAUCUCUUGCGCGACCACCCGAACGGCCUCCAAUCCACGAUCCGAAAAUUAAAGGUUUUCGGUUAUGUGCCACGAUGGUUCAAAUCCGUUUUUAUGGGUUUACGAUGUCGCCUCGGCCCUCCAGGCGGAAACAAAGCCUAAACGUCUGUUUCUUUAAUAACUUCGCAACGGCUCGACGAAUCGCCGAACCAUCUUCGCCAACGCGUUCGUUUACCUAGCAAUUAGGUUUAUGGAGGGUCAAAUGAGAUCAAACCCUUAUAUUUACAAAACUAGCAUUUUGAACCCUAGGUUUUCUACUAAGUAAAAACCCACCAUUAGGGCCUUGAUUUCAAGCAUCAAUCCUCUAAUUAGCAUGCUAGAAUACCUCUAAAUCCAUUUCUAAGGUAUUUAAACCAACCAUUAAGGAUCUACCAUUAAAGGGUAGCAAAAGCUUACCUCUCAAUUAGCUCCAAACCAUGGAGAAGAUGAAGAAGAUGAAGGCGAUCCAUCUCCAAGCUUCAAUCUCCACUAAUUUCAUCAAUUUUGGGAGAGAAUUAGAGAGAGAAAAGAGAGGUUUCUCCUUUCCUUUCCAUGCGUGUGUUGUGUGUGUGUGUGCGGGUGUGUGUGUGCGGCUGGGAGGAAGAAGAAGAAGCAAAGCUUCUUUAUACAUUAACACCCAACACUAUUCACUCCAGGCAACUUAAAAUCUGAUAGCUUUCGCCGGAGCUCUCUGAACGUCCGUUUGAGCUCAAAGUUGACAGCAUGUUCGGUUUUACGUACUGACCAAGAAUAUAUUUUAAGUUUUCAAUUUCGACCUCAUUUGGUCACCGAAAACUGUACCGAACUGUAAUCUUUAUCAGAUAACUGUCGGAUUUUAUUUCUCACUCUACGGGUGUCAGAAAAAUAUGAAACUUUAAAUUUAGCCUCAUAAAAAUAUUUCUGACUUAUCCUCCAAUUUUCAUAAUUUUCUGAGACUGUGCAUUUUCUGCUAAUUUAUCUGUCCCGUUUUCAAUAGAAAAUUCUAGAUCUUCCGUUUUCAUUCCGAUUUCAGCACAAGUCACUUCUGACUUAUAUUUUAUGUAACACCCUGGACCUUUGCAAAUUGCGAGGUUCGAGUGUUUGGGUGUAUUUCGAGCUUUUCCACACUUGGUGGAGGGUUGUAGAAUGUUUUCCGACCUAAAAAGUUCGAAAAUCGAAAUUCUGGAUAAGUCCUGAGAGUUUUUACUCUCGGGGACCGGUCCCUGGAAGGAGAGACCGGUCCCCCAGUGAGCAGUACUGCGGCAGCCUUGAGGCAACCGGUCCCUGGCGGCGAGACCGGUCCCCGAGCGCGUCUAGGCAGUGAGAGACCGGUCCCGCGCAGGGAGAGACCGGUUCCCGAACGCUGGUUUUUCGGGUUCGCAGCGAGAGACCGGUCCCUGCUGGGGAGAGACAGACGCAGUCCCUCUGGGCUAAAACUGCCAGACCGGGCUGUAGGGUAAUAUGGAUUUUGGAGGCCCUAGCUGGAUUUGUCACAAUUAGAGGUCUAUAUGAUCCUCUCCACUCUCUCCUCUCCCCAUUUCUUUCUCUCAACCCUCUCCACACCCUGAUGAGAAGAAGAGAAGAGAGAGUUAAAGGAGAAUGAAAGGAGAAGAAGAAGAAGAGAAGGAGAAGAAGUAUUGUACUACUAGUGGAGCUUGGCGAAUCGUUCCUCACUUCUCCCCCGUCCCCCCAUCUUUCUUGGUGCUUGGGAAGGUGGACUUGAGAGCUGCCAAAGAGGAGAUCUUAUCCCCACCCUUGGGGAAGGCUUCGGGGAAGAUUGAGCUCUAAGGAGGUUUGUUGCGUCAUUUCCCUCCUCGUAGAUCUUAGUUUUGAUAGUUUUGAUAGAUGAGAAACCUAGAAAUGAGAUUUAGGGUAGUUUAAAUGGGCUUUUUGAUCUAGGGCUUUUGCAGGGUGCUAGAUUAAUUGUUAUAAUCUUCUUGGCUUGGAUUGGAAGGCCUCAAGCUCUGCUUUUUGUGAGUUUUGGAAGAAUUUCUACUCUUGAUGGUACAGUUUUGACCCUUAUGUUCGCUAGUAAUGUUUGAUAAUAUAAGAUGCGUCGUAUGCCUCGUAUCUCUUCGCUGAUCACUUUAGGUACUUGAGACUUCGUGGCAACUUCAUUCGGCGAAUCGAAGAGCACGACGACGAGUUCGGUGGGUUGACCUAGUCCUACAGAUGCAGAAAUUCUCAUAUGUGUUAUAGUAUUGUUCCCUUAAAUUUUGAAAAAAGCAUGCAUAUUCAACUAAAUGUAUAUUAUGAUUUUUAGAAUGCUUUAAAAUUGCUAUGUUAUAAUAUAAUGAUUUGACCUCUAUGUAUAGAGGUUGCCUUGAGAGAGAGUUGGUUGCAUUUAGCAUUCUAUACGAGACUUUGGUUUCAUGUUUUCUUAGUGUAAUGAGUCUGAAUUUCCAUGUAUUAACUUAAGUUUACUUGUGACAUUGAAAGAUGAUGAAAUUCCAUAUAGAGAGCGUAUCUGAGCUACGAAUGUAGCUGAACUAGCGAAGGCUAAUGUCAUCAAGCGUGGCAUUGAGCUCGGACAUGUGUGAACAUAGUGAUAGGGCCAUUGAGGUGAUCUUGGAAUAUCAUGUUGGACAUCAAAUGCAAGGUGUCAUAAGGGGCACUAGGGUAGCAAAAGCUGAAAAAUUCACAUUAGCCUUAAACAAUCUCCGGGAUGCUAGUACUAUAUCAUGUAGGACAGUGAGGCAUUAGAUACUUGAGACUUGGACUUGCUGUCUUGCCUAUUUGUUGCUCUGAUCGCAAUGCUUUGUUGGAGGGUCGUUUUCCACAAGCCUUUUGGCCACUCCGGAGUUAGCCUAUANNNNNNNNNNNNNNNNNNNNNNNNNNNNNNNNNNNNNNNNNNNNNNNNNNNNNNNNNNNNNNNNNNNNNNNNNNNNNNNNNNNNNNNNNNNNNNNNNNNNUGUUGUCUUUUAUAUUCUGUUUGCAAAUGUCUCUUUUCAUCGAAUUCCUAAGUUGAAACAGGUGAUCAUUGAAUGGUGGAUUCAGCUGUUUGACUCCCCCCUGUAGUAUAAAUUGUUACAAUCUAACUGUGCGAACACAGCACUCCACUGUAAGCAAAAUUUAUCCGCUCACCGCACAUAAUUCACUUAUUAAAUAACGGUUCUACGGCAAAACAUUGACAUUUGAGACUAAAAUUUUGUUACCUUUGUAUAAUAGUCUGAUAUUGAUUUGCCUUUGUCCUUUUUGGUAGCGACUAGGGUAGCUAUUUUGAUUUUAUCGUCAACUGUAGUGAACUCAGCUAGAAAAGCUUCUUCCCUGUAGUCUUUAAUUUUGAUGGAUUCGUCUUCAAGCGAGUAAUACCACUAGAAUGCCACUUCCAGAACAAUCUUGUUCAGUGUUUCUAGCUGGUCCAAUUGAUUGUUCAAGGGCCGACCAUUUCAAAAGUGGGGACAACAUUAUUUUCAGCUGCACGUUGCUUCUUCUUAUCGCUCUACCAUGCUAAAGCCCAACUAGGUCAGUAACAGACCCAAUUCAUGGACAAAAUUUUUUCCGUACAUGUAAGGUGCCAGAAUUAGAAGCAGCAUAUAAGAGUUAUAAUUUGUAUAAUAUAACAUGACAAACGAAAUACGAUAGAUUACUCUUGACAAUAUUCCUAUAAUAUUCUGCAUCCUUUUUUUGAGUAAUAAAGCUUACAUAACAUUUUAUUAUUAUACUAUUUAUAAAAGGUUUACUUAAUACACACAUCCAAAAUAAUAUUCUACAAGUUCAACAUUCUAUUCAUCAUUUUUAUUUUUUUUCCACCUCAAACACGUUAUUAACAAAGUUUAGGGAUAUUUAACUUCUACGUUAGUGUUGAUUUGCCUCAUGGUUCGCUUAUCAUCAUUGAAUACAUCACAUGUGUGAAAAGAUAACAUAAAAGUGGAUGAGAAUUUCUAUUAUUCUUAAAUUUCUCUUGGUUUCUUUUUUUUUUCUUCUCCAACAAUUGUUGUCGACACUGCUUUUUUUAAAAAAUUAUUAUUUACAAUUGUUACAGGUCCGUGCGAGACUAAUUGAUGUCCAAUAUUCGGUGGAAACUCGACUGAAAUAAAAACCAAGAUUAAACAUUUAGAACAACAAAUCUGCUAUCUUCCCCGCUCUGCUGCUUACAUGCUUGUCUAUCUUAAUGGUGUAAGGUCUAGACUUUUGCAUUUUGCUUUGCUACAACGGAAGAAUAUGCAUUGCGAAAUGUAAUCAAUCACAUGAUUCUCAACAUCUUCAACCAACUUGCACAUGCCGUGCAAAUAGUAAGAGUCCCAAAUAGCAUGUUGCAAGUCUACAAUCCAAUUCCUACUCUAGGGAAGGGAAAAAGGAAAAGAAAAUGGAAUUGAGUUCCUACGCUUUUCAAAGUACCAAGUUAUUGGUGUUUGUAGAUUUUUAGCCAUUGGAUUAAGAGAUAUACGGUUAGAAUGAUGUGGGCCCUCUAGGGUUGAGUGGGUGGUUGGUUGAAUAGUAUAAUCUAAUGGUCCCUAAAAUGAUCCGAGGAGUAGAUCUAACGGUAAAAAACUUACAAGCACCAAGUGCUUGGUGCUUUUACAAGCACCAUAGCUGGACUUAAGAAAAUGAUCACAAGCAUAUACAAUGUCACCCUUUUCAAAAAAAAAUAAUAAUGAUGAAAACCUACAUAUAAAGGCUAGUUUUGCGAAGAUACAACUUCAACAAUCGGCCAAUGGAAAGUCCAAAUGAAUAUUCUGAGUACCAACCUCAGUUACAAUUGUUUGCCGGUUCUCUCAGAUAUCACACUAAUAAUUACAAAACCCUAAAAAUCAAUGCAUCCACCUCCAAAAUGCAUAUACCACCACAAUCGUAAUGAUCAUACCGGCAUAAGCAAUCCAUUUGUCUACGUGAUGACGCCUCGCAAUAAGCUUUAAGACAGAAUUAGAUAGACCCACCGUAUUAAGGAUGUCCAACGCUUUCCUUUGUGCUCUCUGCAGACACGGAAAUCAGUAAUCAGUAAAGAAAAGAACAUCUAGUAGUCCAAGGAGAACUCGACGUUCAAACUUAUUUCGACACUUGGGUCUAUUUGGAUGCCACAACAUGUCAUCCAAUUGAGAUCUGGUGUAGUAUGGUGAUUUUUUGUUUUUCUUUUGUGAUCACCACUUACGAGUUACAUUCUUAACUAUCAUGAAAUAUUUGAUUCUUCCAUCUUUUCCACAUAGCAAGUACCACUUGUUUGUUGCCAUAUAGUGUGUCCACAUUGGCGGGUUAUGAUCUAACCCAAUCCAUAUAAGACGUGGAUUAUGAUUUAUUCUAUUAAGUUUAGGAUAAGAAUGAAUCAUAUGUUUCUUAUCAGUUAAGAAACGUAUCUACUAGUGGAUAUCUAUUAUAUGUUAAUAGAUAUCCUGAUCCUUAUCCUAAUCUAUAUGAGAUUCAGGAUAUUUAGGGGUUCCAUUAUUCUGUAUAUACGCCCCCUUUUCUCUCCGGAAAAGAGACGAUCGAAUACGAUCAAUAAGAACCCACGAAAUAUCUUCCUUAUUCUCUCUCUUCUUCCUCUCUGGGAUUUCCAUUUACGUUCCCGGGGUUUUGGAGUGUGAAUAUAGAAGAGGACUCUGGUAGCCCUUUUUGAUUAGCAUCCGUCGCAUUAGACCCGCAUCCGAUCCGUGGCGUAAGGCGUACACGUGGGAGAAGGCGAGAAACGUGGGAGAUCCAGAAGCAUCGAGACAAGAACAAUCCAAGAAGGCUUGUAAAACAAGCAAUCCGAUCCGAUUCGGGUUCCCGGAUACGUUGGCUAUCCGGUUUGUAAGUUUCCGCUGCCAUAUUAUUUCCAACAAUGUGAUUUAUCAUAUUAAUCAUUUAAAGGUAAGUUGUAUUAUACUGUGGUAGACAUUAGUACAACAACGCAUCAACCAAUUACCACAUGCUAGCUAAAGGAAAUGAAAGAAGCACAUUAAACAAGAUAUAAAUGCAUUCGAACAGGCCCUAUUUUUUCCACAUGGGACCAAACUUGCAAAUUGAUUAUAUUUGGUCUCGGAUAAGCUCAAGUCAAUUAAAUUCAUGCUGAUCUUUGAUUUUGAGAUUGUCUCAUACAAGUAGGUGGUGAUCAGUAAUUACCUUCAAGCGGUCCCUCUGGUCGGCAUACUUCGAUAGAAUAGCCACUCCAGUGGCAUAAGCUUCCUCAAGCAUUAUGGAGGAGUUUUGAGCUGAUUGCAUUGCUUGUGCUUCCUUAUCAAAUAUUCACAGGACGUGAGAGGAGUCCCCAUUCUGCAAUAACCAUGUUGAAUCCAUUCAUUGCUAUCAAUCAUACAUUUAACUCUAAUAUUCCAUUAAAACAGCAAGCCAAAUUAUCCUUAUUUCAUAGAGGACCAACAACUAUGCAGGGGGAAAAAAUAACUGAUAUUAAAACUGUCACGCCCCGCGACCUCCCACCUAUUUGGCCGGGUCGCGGCGCCACAAACAGACCGCCGAACGGACAGAGUUUUUCCUGUACGUCCUAGGCGUCGCAAUCAAUACAAUAAACGAAUGUUCCAACCAGGAAUCGAUAUCAAUCAAGAUUGCAUAGGGAAGUACCAACAACAUAACUCGACCUGCUAUUACAAACAUUCAUUUCAUACACUUGAUAAAUCACAUUGCGUUUUCUUUUACAUUGGUCUUCCAAAUACAAUCUGAGUUAUUACAUUUGGUUUACAAGUUUAAUACAUUUUAAUUCACUGUCCUCUAUUCCCCUAAGCUAGACUGUCUCAGGGUACUGCUACCUCGGUCUCUGUGGUAGGGCGCUAUCUACGAAGCUACGCCCUUUCCUCGCACCGCCGCGCCGCUCAUGUGUGAACUUGAAACACCCCAAAACAACGUGGGGUGAGAACCAACUCUAUGGUUCCGAGUGGGUACGGCCACCCAAGGGAAGAGCUCGACCAAUAGGUCCAAGGAGGCACUGUAAUCAUGUUAGUCCAAAAACAUCUAUCGAUAUAUCAUCAUGUUAUUAUGCAACUAACAGAUAGCAUGCCUCACAAAAUGCGAUAUGCAAAACCUAUAACCCAUGCAAGUAGUUUACUUGUUUCUACUACAUAUUAUUAGUCAUUUUUUAUAUGUAGCCGUUCUUUACUUAUUUAGCUAUUCUCAUUCAUUAGCUAUUCUUUACAUCAUUUUCUUGUUACAUUAUACUCAUUGGCGAUUCUUUAUUCUCUGACAUUCUUGAUUGUCGCCGUUCCUUCCUAAGGUUACUUUACCUUAGCCAAUUAUGCCACUCGACUCGGUCUUGAGUCAAUCAAUUGCGGAUAGUCCGCGCACUAUCUAGCUCGAGGUGAAGGAACUCUCACAUGCACCUCAGCUAACCACAGCCUACCGUACUCCUGUCCUAGCCGUCUGGCGGCGAACGCAUCGCACUUUACCCAACAACAGCCUAGGUCAUGACUUAGCCACCCGGCGGCGAAAUCGUGGCACUCGCCACGUCGAUGGUUCAGUCAACAGGCGGUAUGAUCCACUAACCGGCUAACCAUCCGGCGGCGAAAUCGUCGCACUCGCCACGACAAUGGUUCUAUAGCCCCUGGGCGGCGAAAUCGUCGCACACACCCCACACCCCUCUCGGUGUAUCCAUUAACUUUGGGAUUCUGGAAUCCAUUUCACAUCACAUAAGGGUUGGUCUUAUUCCUAUAGAAUUGACCUAUCUAGAUCCAAGCCUUUACUCAACCUAAGUUAAUACUUUAGGUUCGUCGCCUCCAUACUCAUAGCCUAGGUUUGUUAACUCUAGGUUCAUUACCUUUGCCCACCUAGAUUUAUGUGAUUCUUAAUCUCACAACCUAUGUUCUCUAACAUUAGGUUUAAUGCCAUUCCUAUUUAACCUAUGUUCAUCAACACUAGGUUCAUUAUUUCUCUUGUCCAACCUAUGUUUACUAACAUUAGGUUCAUGCCACAUUUGUUCAACCUAUGUUCUUGACACUAGGUUCAAUGCCACUCGAUCUAUAGGUGCAUUUAUAUCCAUAUACACAAGUCCUUUACUUAUCAUUCUCAACUUGUCAUUAGGCAUUAUCACUAGCAUGCUUUCUACUUUAUAUUAACAUGCAAUAACCCUUUAUCUCCUGUCUUUAGCUAACAUCAUUCUAAGCAUUUACUUAGCAUUCUUACACUGUAUCCAUAUACAAAAGGUGGUAGCUUAACAUAACAUUCAUUUUAUGCAUUCAUGUAUUCUAACACUAGCUACCACUAUGUGCAUCAAUGAUAGAUAUGUAUCUUAGACAUACAGGCGACCUAGUUGCUUCGGUAAACACAACCCACCUUAGCUAGCUUUCCGAUUGUUUGUCGACACUUGCAAUCGGCCUCCCGCGACACUCGGCACCCGAUUUGGCCCGAUCUCGCAGUUGCACUCCAAUAGCGCAUCGCUUCGCCGUUUCAAGAGUUAAAGGUCUUCUCCUUGCUAUUACGGCGCUCGGGACUCGAUCUCGCGAUUUAUGGACGUCGCAUCGACCUUCCAGGCGGAAACGAAGCUCCGGACGUCCGUUUCUUCAAUAUCUUUGCAACGGCUCGUCGGAUUGCCGAACCGACUUCGCCAACGUGUUUCGUUACCUAUCAAUUAGGUUAACAAAGGGUCAAAUGAGAUCAAACCCUCCCAAAUCACAAAACCCCAUUUUGGAUGCCCUAGAUGCUAUUACUACCAAAUCCACCAAAUUGAUCCAUGAUUUGGGCACAACACAUCCUAAUAGCAUGCUAGGGUACCAAAAAUACCAUUUCUAUGGUUCGAAAUCCCCUCCUUAAAGAUCUACCAUGAGAGGAGGCAAAGAGCUUACCUCUCUAAGAACUCCAAAGUGAGGAAGAAGAUGAAGAGGAGGAGGAAGAUCUCCUUCUUAGUCUUCUUCUCCUUCUUCUUCUCUUUCUUUCUUCUCUUUUCUUCUUCUUCUUUUCUUUUCUCUCUUUUCUUCUCUUUUCCUCCUUCACGUACAGAGAAAGAGAGAGGGAAAGACUGAGGGAGAGUGAGGGAGAGGGGAAGAGAGAAGGAAUCCCUCUCUUAAGCCCUCUAUUGUAACAAUAUGCUGAUAAGUCCCUCAACUUUUCACCCACUCACAUUGCCCUUACUGGGCAUUUUUCGCCUAGAGGGACCGGUCUCCCCGACCUGGGACCGGUCCCCGAGAGCUCCCCCCGAUAUCACGCAUUCGGGAACCGGUCUCUCCCUGAGAGACCGGUCCUUGGGAGACCGGUCUGCCCACCAGAGACCGGUCCCCGAGAGCUCGUCUUGUGGGACUUGGCCAAUUUUUGGCCAUUCUCACCGGUGUCGCCUGCGGGGACCGAUCCCUCCCUGCCAGGGAUCGGUUGCAUCAGCAACCCCGCAACCACUAGCCGAUGGGACCGAUCUCUCACUGCCAGAGACCGGUCCUCGAGAGCAAAACCUGCCAAAAGUGCAGAUUUGCAUCUUUUGCUCUCGCGGACUCUAUUCCAAUGCACUUCUUGGGUUUCGUGCAUGCUUAGCUUUUCCAAAGCUUACCAACUCGACCAUUAGUCGAUUCUGGACGAAGUGCAACUCUCGGAUUUCGAGAAUUCACAUUGUUACAAAAACUUCUUUUUUAUAUUCCAAAUCAAGGAAUUCUUACUGCUCUUUCCAGUAACUCUGCCCUUUCUUUAGCUUCGACCAUUCGCUUUUGUUGGCGCAUUAAAUGCUUAUCAAGGCUCUCCUUCAGUGAGUCAAUCUCUUCUACUAGUUGUUCCAGUUUUCUGUAAUGACAUAUAAUAUGUCAAGGAUUAGUCAUAAUUUGUAAAGAAUUAUCAAAUCUUUGUUGUUUCUGGUUAGAGCUUCUAAAAAGCCUCUAGCCCUGCAUUACAUAUUUAGGGAUCAGGAAGCUUAGAUAGUAAAGACUAUGGCAAUAAGGACAUAUGUUGUAUGCCAGGAAAAAAAAGAAAUAAUCCAUAAGCUCCAGCAAAGUACAGUUUAAUGCAAUAUGAAAGUCUACCAAGAAGGAAUGUUAUUUUCACAUUUAAUUUUGAGUUCGUCAAAAGGUGGAACAUGAUAAUGGGAGAACAAAGUAGGCAUAAGGAAUGUAACACAAAAUGUAAAAUAGUUUAUGCCAUGAUUUAGUGAUAGAUAAUGUAGAUUCAGGCUGCUUGCACUUUGUGAUUUUCAGGAGAGGACAACAGGCUAUAGAUGCUGCCAAUUAGAAUAUAACAGUGUCAACAUGCCCAAAAUAAUUUCCCCUAAUACAGAAUGCCUGUCACUACUGUUAGUAUGGCUUUAAUAAAGAUAAUCCAAAUAUAGGCAAAAGGAGAUAGACACAGUUGAGCACAUAUUAUUUGCAGUAUUUUAAAUAGUGGCCGCUAUGCCCGUCAUAGAGGCUGCUAUAGUGGUUUUUAGGUGUUACCGCUACGCUAUAAUAUGUAAAGCGGUAUAUAGCGGAUUGGAUUCAUAGCAGCCACUUUAGCGGCGUUGGUCUCGCUAAAGCCGCCGCUAUAAAGCGGUCGGAAAAUGGGAGCUAUAAGCCCAAACCUUUAAAAAGUGCACACGAGUUAAAACAGCUUAUCGGGUCGGAUCCUUAAAUGAAAUAUAAAGAUCAAACCCUGUUUCUAAGGGUUUGGAAGAUACAAAGGUGAUCCAUUUUUAAAAGGGAAUCAAAUAUCGUAUUCUCAACAAAAAGAGAAGCAGCGAUCUCUAGGGUUUCGAAGCUUCUAUGGGGACGCGAAGUAGAAGCGAACGCUAGCAACCAAGAGGGCCAACCGGCAACCAGUCUUUGACUAGAAGGGCUCACCGACGACCAUAAACAAUAUCUAACGACCACCGCAAAUCAUCAAGAUGAGAAAAAUCCAAUUCUGUAUGAAUAUUUCCUCUCUUUUCCUCUGUUUCUUUGCAUCUAGUGCUAAAUCAGCAUGUGCAUAGCGAGUGCAUGGCUUUUUUUUCAUCGCUCUCUCUCUCUCUCUUUCUCUCUCUCUUCUUGCCUCUCUUUUGGUCAUUUUUUUGGACUUGCUUUUUUUUAUUCUUUCUUGAUGGUCUCCCUGCUCACAGAAUAAGAGACCAAUAGUGAUGUUAGCUGCGCAUUUUACUUUCUAUUUACUUAGUACUUAGUACCAAAGCAUGCCAAGAAAAAUUUAGAUGUAUAUCGAAUCAUGCACGCUGAUCAUUAGGUGCGCAAUUUUCUAGUUUUAUUUGCAUACUGCUGCUCUAUAUUUAAAUUCAAUGGCUGACAUUGACUCUAUUAUGAAGCAGACACUUUCUAUUUUGCUCUUUAUCAUGUCAAAAAAAGCACAAGAUCCAGGUUGGGAACAUGCCUAUCCUCCAAUUGAGAAGGAUCGAACUCAAGUGAAGUGCAAGUAUUGUCAAAAUGAGUACAAUGGUGGGAUGAGUAGGUUUAAGAGGCACUUGGCCGGAAUUAGAGGGGAUGUUGCUCCUUGUGCGCAAGUUCCAGAAAAAGUAAAAGAAGAAAUGUCUAAACUUAUUGGAGUGAAGAGACAAAUGAAGGAGCACAAGGAAGAAGCUCUUAAGCAAUUAAGACGUGAGGUUAAUAUCACUGACAUGGAAAACUAUUCAGAUUAUGAAACAGGAGAAGUACUUUCUAAAAGAAGUUGUGUUGGGUCGAGCAAGAGUACACAGAAAGGACUCAUUGAUAGGUUUUGCAUCCCCACUCCUGAAGAAGCUUUGCGAAGGGGCAAGAAUGUUCAACCCACUAUAAAUGAGAAAUUGAAAGAGAAAGAAAGAGAAAGAACAAUUCAAUACAUUGCUCGGUGGUUUUAUGAAGUUGGAAUUCCUUUCAAUGCAGCCAGUCUUGAAAGUUUCAGUUUGAUGCUAGAAGCAAUUGGACAAUAUGGUCGGGGAUUGAAAGCUCCUACACCAUAUGAGCUUAGAGUACCUUUAUUGAAGAAAGAAGUAGAAGAGACAAAAGCAUUCUUGAAAACUCAUAGGGAUUGUUGGGAAGCACAUGGAUGCUCAAUCAUGACGGACGCUUGGACCGAUAAAAGAGGUUGGAAUUUUAUGAACUUGGUGGUAAAUUGUGAGUUGGGAAGUUCUUUUCUUAGAUCAAUUGAUUCUUCUUUGGAGGUUCAUGUUGGUCCUUUUAUAUUUAAGUUGGUUAGUUCUUGUAUUGAUGAGAUUGGAGAGGAAAAUGUGGUUCAAGUCAUCUCCAAUAAUGCAUCAGCAAACAUGGCGGCCGCAAACUUAUUAAGAGCCGAACGUCCUAAUAUCUUUUGGACUCCAUGUGCUGCUUAUUGCAUUGAUCUAAUGCUCGAAGAUAUUGGAAAGUUUAGACAAAUAAAAAAUACGAUUACUAAGGCAAGAAUGGUGACAGUUUUCUUGUAUGGGCAUAUGAUCACGCUCAGCAUGAUGAGGAAGUUCGCCCAAAAAAAGGAUUUGGUAAGGACUGGAGUUACUCGUUUUGCUACUGCUUUUCUAAGCUUGCAAAGCAUUAUGUUGAAGAGGAAUGAGCUACGGACGAUGUUCACCUCCAAGGAUUGGGAUGAAUGUAAAUGGUCCAAAAUGGAAGUAGGGAAGAGAAUCCAACAAAUUGUUUUGAGCAAUAAGUUCUGGAAUGGUGUGUCACUUACAUUAAAAGCAUUUGAGCCUUUGGUAUAUGUUCUUCAACGAGUUGAUGGUGAUAAGGUGCCAUCCAUAGCCUAUGUGUAUGGUGACCUGGAAAAUGCUAAAAAGGAAAUUGCUCUACACAUGGACAAUGAUAGGAAAAAAUAGUCCUGUUUGGAACAUUAUCGACUCAAGAUUUAAUGACAAGCUUAAGACUCCAUUACACAAGGUAGGCUACUUCUUGAAUCCCUUUUUUUACUAUGCCAAAAAAGAUGAAAUUGAUAGCAAUGCCAAAAAAGAUGAAAUUGAUAGCAAUGCAAGUAUCAUAGAUGGUGUGCUUGAGUGUCUAUUGAAAUUUUAUCCAAAUGAUCCAAGUAAGCAAGAUAAGAUACUUGCCAUUGUACAAAACUGCUUCGGGAUCAUUUGGGAGGGAAAUUGCGAUGAGACAAAGACAAAAGCAUAAAGUUACUUUUUUAAAAUAUUGCAGCCCAUUGGUGGAGUAUACAUGGGAUGGAUACUCCUUUCCUGUAGAUUAUGGCAAUGAGAAUCUUGAGCCUAACCUGUAGCUCCUCAGGCUGUGAAAGAAAUUGGAGCACCCGGUGGACCCUUCAUAGGUUCAGGUGAUACUUCUUCUGCAGCUGGAAUAUCAGUACCGUAUAAGUACAGGUGGGUACUUCGACCCAAAGUCGGUACAGUGGUGCACGCUCAGUGACGUUCUUUUCACCCCUUCCUUGUUGGUUAUAUUGCAUAUUAUAUACAUUGCAUAUUUUAUGUUAAGCUUAGCAUAUACAUUGCAUAUUUUAUGUUGAGCUUAGCACCUAUACCAUGUUUCCUUAUCGCUCUACUUAGUUGUUUGCAUAUCCAGUAUCAUGUUUUAGAAGUAGAGAGGUUUUGUGAUUACUUGUGAGAUAUAUGACCUGGUUGGUCAGUGCGUUGCAUCUGGUAUUAUGACCUGGUUGGUCGGUUCCCGUAUCACAUACCUGUGACUUAUUUGGUCGGCUUAUUGCAUCGUAUGGUGACCUACUUGGUCAAUUUGACUCCUUGGUGACCUAUUCGGUCAGUGUGUCCUGAGGGGUAGGAUUGUCAGCUGGUUGCCGACGGUUGGCUUUCGAGCAUUCAGCAUUGAUCGCCCUUACUUGUGCGCAUUUCACGAACACCAAAAGUCUGAUCCACCGUAAGAGGUGUUCUUUUUCGGAAAAGUGGUUGCAGGUGCCAACCCGUGAGCUCAUAGGCUAUUUUGGGUUAUAUGCAGAUAGAGUAGCAAUGGCACAGGCUUGAGGUUUGCGGUGCGAACCAACAGAGCAUUGGUUUCAGAUUGGGUAUUUUGGACUGGUCGUCCGGUUGAUGCAUACAUACAGUAGCUGUAAUGUUUCAUAUACAUCUCGUUUUAUUUGUUUAUCAUGGCUACUGUAUUACCACUAUCUAUACCUUGUUUGUUCUCCGUGACUGGUGAGUACCCCUCGCCUUCGUCGGCUUGCGGUACCCACUGGGAGGGGAGACAUAUGUACAUGUUCUCACCCCCCACCCCCAUUACAGGUGACGUCGCUGGUCUUAGUGGGACGGUUCGUAAGGAGCGCGUCUAGCGGUCGAUAGAGCCACCGUCCCGUCGUUUGGUAAAAUCUCUAACUCAGCUUCUUUAAAUAAAUGACUUAGACAACUAUUAUGGUUCAAUAUUUUUAUUACAUUUCAAUAUUUGGGAUUUCAUGAAUGUAAUAAAGAAUUUAUGAUUUUGUAAACUGAAAAUAGUUUUCUACCCCCUCGUGGUAGCGUGUUUUUAAAAAAGAAAUAGGUUUCCGUGUGGGAAACGAUUUUAAAAAUGGUUUUAUCGAUUUUCGUGAUUUAGUGUUUUAAAACGAGUUUCCGGAUAGGAAAUAUUUUAACCGAUAGUUGAGGAUUUAUGAUUGAAUCUGUCACGCCCCGGGGUCCCUUUUAAGUUUAAAAACGCAGCGAAAAGGUCUUUUUUUGUGAAAAACUGACCCUCGGGAUAUGCCAGAUCCGCCACAAAUAAAGGGAGUCCACUGUUCACACGGACAGAGUCUUCCCUGUAUUUACACGGCGUCGCACAAGUACAAGAGUAUAACCAGAAUACAACCACAACAAAUGAAUAUACAACAUCUAACCAUUUAUACAUUCAUACACCAUUCACCACAGAUUCACAUGUAGAGUUUGAAUAUAAAUCCACAACUAUCAGUUAAAAUGUUUCCUGCCGGAAACUGGUUUUGAAAUACUAAGUUACGAAAAAUCACGAAAAAACCUUUUAAAAACUGUUUCCCACACGAAAACUUUUUCCUUUUUAAAACACACUACCACGAGGGGUAGAAAACAUUUUCAUUUCAUAGAAAUUCACAAUUCUUUAUUUCAUUCAGAAAAUCAACUGAAAUCUUGAAUACUCAAACAUAAUGAAAUACUGAACCAUAUUAGCAGUCUAUGUUAUAUCAACAGAAAUAAAAGGAGGGGAACAACUAAACCGAACAAACCAGGUCGGAAGAUCUAUCGACCGCUGCGAACGUGCCUCACGUCUCGUCUAAACCUCACCGCCCGCAAUACCUGAAAAAUGGUGGGGGGGGGUGAGAACAUGUAAACAUGUCUCCCCUCCCAGUGGGUACUGCAAGCCGACGAAGGCGAGGAGUACUCACCGGAUCAGGAAGAGAUAAACAAGAUUAUGAGCAGAUAUAACAAAUACAAUAGCCAUAAACUGGAAGGAAGUAGAACAAUAACAGAAUAUAUAACUACUGCUACUGUAAAGAAGGACUGAAUGCAUACAUGGAUAUCAAAACUAUAGUAACAAGACAAGUAUAAAGAAAGAACUGUAAGUAUGCAUGCAACAACCGCUACUAUAGCCAUAUGCGUCAACCAGACGAAUAGUCAAAGUAUACCCAAUCAGAAACCUGGCCAUGUUGGUCCACACACCUCAGGCCUGUGCCACUGCCACUCUACAUACAUAUAACCCUAGCGUAAGCUCCUGAGUCUGAAAGGCAUAUGACCCUAGCAUAAAGCUCUUGGGCCUGAAAGCGUACAACCCUAGCAUAAAGCUCCUGGGCCUGAAAACAUACAAUCUUAGCAUAAAGCUCCUGGGCUCACGGGUUGGCACUCCCAACCACUUUUCCGGAAAAGAACACCCCCUUGAGGUGGCCAAACCGCUGGUGUUCGUGAAAUGCGUACGAGUAGUGGCGAUCAAUGCUAAUAUGCUCAAUAGCCAACCGUCGGCAACUAGCCGACAAUUACCGCCCCUCGGGACACACUGACUCAAAAGGUCAUCGAACUGUAAGAAACACAAGUACCACCACUCAGGUCAACUAGGAUGGAACUACUCAACAUCCUAUCGAAGAUAUGCAAGUGCUGAUUAAUAGGUCAAUUAAAGUAUAUACGCAAAAAUCGACCAAUAGAUUACAAAAGUGUAUCAAUAUAAUCCAGAACUACUGUUAGCCACUAGCCAACAAUCCUACCCCUCAGGGUACACCGACCUCAUAGGUCAUCAAACAAUAAAAGUCACAAAACCGAUCGACUAGGUCAUAUAAUGUCAAAUGACGGAUCUGUGUAAACUAUAAUCAUCCGUCGACACUAGCAGACAAUCCCACCCUUCAGGGUAUACCGACCUCAACGGUCAUCGAACGAUAGAAGUCAAGAAACCGACCGAAUGGUUACAGUACUAGAUAAUAGAACCGACCAACUAGAUCACGGAUCUCACAAUCAAUCAUAAACCAGCUCUACUUCUAUUCAUAAUACUAGACAUGCAAACAACCAAAUAAAGCACAACAAGAAUAGCAAAGGUGCUAGACUCAACAUAAUAUAUAUAUGCACAGGAUAGUAACAAGAGCAAGGGUAAGAAGAUAUCACCGAGCGUGCACUACUGUACCGACUUCGGAUCGAAGUACCCACCUAUAAGAAUGUCGCGCCUGUCUCCUGAUUGCGAAAGAACGUCAACCGGACCUAAGGAGGGUCCACCGGGUUAGUGUCUAACCCACAACUAAUAACCACUAAAUCCAAAACCCCACAAACAAUCCCACGGAGAUCGGUUUCCCAAACCGACUACCGUAACUCGUCGGGCAUCCCGAAAAUCGUAUCGGGACUCCGCCGGGACCCACAAACUGUCCCGGAACACACCGACUCGUACCACGAGUCACCCGCUGCCACUAAACACAUAUGCUUGUGUCACUUGGCAGCCAAAACACUAACUCACUCCGAAACGAUUAUCAUCGGAUAAUCAUUCCGAUCCGGGUUCCCGAAAGUGUCCAAUUCGACAACGGAACCCACCGUCGUUCACCCGUCGUCUUCGGACACUCAAAACGACGCGGGUGACCAGCCAAUAAGGCUCAGCGACAUCACAAAUCAUCACGGAGCACCGUCGGAAGAAUUUCGAAUCAAAAACGCGUUCCGUCGACAGAUUUCGCCGAAAAACGCACCGAAAAUCACUUUUCGAUUCCCGCAAAGGCUUGGGGCCUUGGACAAUCAGUCCAGAGGUUACCCACUGCCCACACAUGCUGCCAACAGUAGCCGCGACAAACCAAAAUGCAUAAAAGCCCUCCCGAUAGCAUGAAAUCACGUUAUUUCAUGCGAUUUCCGAGCUUUUAUGGUCCGAUCGUGCAAUCCGAUAACCUUUCUGCUCCGUCGAGACACCCUCGAGCGAGAUAAGGUUCACCUAGUGGCUCAUUGCUUCGAGGGGUCAGCUCAGUUAUGGUGGACUCAAGCGAAGAAAGGUCGCUCUUUGGAUCUUGCUUCCAUGACUUAGGAGGCGUUUCGGGAAUUACUACUUAUGGAGUAUUUUUCCAAAAGUGAUAAGCGGAAGAUCAAGGAGGACUUUCGCAAACUAAGGCAAGGAAAUCGAUCGGUGCGAGAGUAUGAAAGGGAGUUCUCGCACAUGGUUAACUGUGUUUCGGGCUUGGUUCACGGCGACCGAGACCGAGCGGAGGUCUUUGAGCACGGGUUGCGGCCGAAAAUAUUAAAAUUGUCCAGGCACUUCGGUUGAAGACCUAUGAGAACGUGUUGGAACACGCGUUAUGGGUAGAGCGCGGCAACGCCAUUGCCCGCGAGGAGCGCGAGGCAUUUGAAAGGGACAGGGACAAGGAGAAGUCCAAGAAGCGGGCGGCUAGCGGUUCCGCAGGGCAGUCGAGUUCUAAGCGGCCCCCUCGGUACCCAAAGUCACAGUGGCGGGGAGGCAGAAGCCAGUCGAGGAGUAAGACAACUUCCUUCCCGUGUGUGAUCUGCGGCGGAAAUCAUAGGCCCAGUGAUUAUUCCUAGCGUGACGGGAGGUGUUUUCGAUGCGGCCAAGCGGGACACAUGAGUUGGUAUUGCCAGGGCGGUGCAUCACCUGCCCUGUCAGCUGCUUCAGCUCAGUAUGCUCUAUGACAGCUUGCGGGACUGCCGCCUGCUAUGUCGGCUGGGCCCGCGUCAGCACCGUGUUAGUCGGAGGGAUCACGAGCACCGAGUGGACAGGUUUUCGCCACUCAGGUGGAGGAGCAGCCUGCCGUACCAGAUGACGUCGUGGCAAGUAUUAUUUUGAUUAAUGGCACUAGAGCUAAAGCUUUGUUCGAUACGGGUGCAUCACAUUCAUUCAUUGGUGCAUCGUUUGCUAAGACUCAUGGCAUGAAGAUAGUGCAUAAUCCGAUCUAUUGGUGGGUUAAUGCGCCUGAACAUUCGUUUAGAGUUCACGAGGAAUGCCUAGCCUGUCUAGUUCAGAUUGGCGAUUGGGUCAUGCCGGCGGAUUUGCUAGUGCUGAAACAGAUGUGGGGCUUUGAUGUAAUCUUGGGAGUCGAUUGGCUCUCCAAGUACUAUGCAAGCAUCGAUUGUGAAAGUAAGGUGAUCACUUUUCGUGAGCCUCAUCAGGAAGAAUUGGUAUAUCGUGCGUCUAAGAGCUCGCGCUUCGCGGCGACUGUGUCAGCGGCGAAGGCGAGGAAGAUUAUCAAAGGUGGAUGUGUGGCCCAUUUGGCGACCAUGAUAGAGACUCAGAAGGAGCACCCAGAGCUUGGGAAUAUCCGAGUUGCAUGUGAAUUUCUGGACGUGUUUCCGGCGGAGUUACCGGGAUUGCCACCGGAUCGGGAGAUCAAGUUCGACAUUGACUUGAUUCCCGGAGCGGCGCCAGACUCGACGGCUCCGUAUAGAAUGGCACCGGUGGAGCUUAAAGAGUUGAAGGCUCAAUUAAAGGACUUGCUCGAUAAAGGCUUUGUUAGGCCGAGCGUGUCACCGUGGGGAGCUCCGGGGCUGUUUGUGAAGAAGAAGGACGGUACACUUCGACUUUGCGUUGACUAUUGCGAGUUGAAUAAAAUGACGAUCAAGAACAAAUACCCGUUGUUGAGAAUAGAUGACCUGUUUGAUCAGUUGCAAGGGUCGCGGGUAUAUUCGAAGAUAGACCUUCAGUCGGGAUAUCGCCAGUUGAAGAUCCGGCCGAAAGAUGUGCACAAAACGGCGUACCGUACGCGAUAUGGCCGCUGUGAGUUUACGGUGAUGUCGUUUGGGCUUACUAAUGCCCCGGCAGCAUUUAUGGACUUGAUGAAUCGGGUCUUUCGAUCGUUAUUCGACAAGUGCAUUGUGGUGUUUAUCGACAACAUGUUAGCUUAUUCACGGAGUGAGGAAGAACACGAGGAACAUCUGAGAACCGUGUUGCAAAUACUCCAGAACGAGAAGCUUUACGCCAAGCUAAAGAAGUGUGAUUUUUGGCUUUCAGAGGUAACCUUCUUAGGCCAUGUGAUAUCCAGGAGUGAAGUCUCGGUAAAUCCAAGAAAGAUUGAGGUGAUAAAAGAUUGGCCUCGCCCGACGAGUGUGGCGGAAGUCUGCAGUUUCCUCGGAUUGGCGGGCUACUAUCGGCAUUUUGUGGAGGGAUUUGCAAAGUUGAAUACUCCUCUCACACGCCUUACGCGCAAGGGAGUAAAAUUUCUGUGGAGCGACGAUUGCGACCGAAGCUUCCAAGAGCUAAAAGAGAAGUUGACGUCGACCCCGGUACUUGCUUUGCCGACACUGGGCGAGAGCUUUGUGGUUUAUAGUGAUACUUCCUACACUGGUCUCGGGCGUGUUCUUAUGCAAAAUGGGCGAGUCAUUGCGUAUACUUCGCGCCAGUUGAAAAGCUAUGAGAAGAACUACCCGGUACAUGAUCUUGAGUUAGCGGCGGUCAUUUUCGCGCUAAAGUUAUAGAGGCACUAUCUCUACGGUGAGCAUUGUGAGGUAUAUACCGAUCACAAGAGCCUCAAGUACUUGUUCACCCAAAAAGAGUUGAAUAUGCGGCAGCGGCGGUGGUUAGAGUUGUUGAAGGAUUAUGACCUUACUAUCCUAUACUACCCUGGGAAGGCCAAUGUGGUUGCCGAUGCACUAAGCAGAAAAUCAGUUGAGAACUUGGCGAUGGCAAUUACUAGUCAACCGUUAUUGCAAAAAGAAAUGCAACGGUUUGGAUUGAAAGUAGUGGUGCCGGAGGUUCCGACCAUUUUGGUGACGCUAGUGGUUCGACCGACCUUAUUGGAGAGAAUUAAGGAACGGCAAGUUGAUGAUCCAUAUCUCCAGAAGGUGCGGAGUGAUGUUGAGGGCGGACGCGUCGGUGACUUUGGCGUGGGAUCCGAAGGUGCACUUCGGUUCAGGAACCGGUUGUGUGUGCCCAAGGACGAUGAAAUCUGCAAAGCGGUGUUGUAAGAAGCGCAUCAUUCCCCGUAUAGUAUACACCCGGGCGGCACUAAGAUGUACAAGGACCUGAAACUAUAUUAUUGGUGGCCGGGCAAGAAAAAAGAUAUUGGGGAUUUUGUGGCGCAGUGUUUGACGUGCCAACAAGUGAUGGCUGAGUGUCGAUUUUUCGCGGGAAGUUGCAAAGCUUACCAAUUUCCGUGUGGAAGUGGGAAGACAUAGCGAUGGACUUUGUGAUCGGAUUACCCCGAUCGCAAGUCGGACAUGAUGCGACAUGGGAGGUUGUGGACCAUUUGACAAAGUCGGCUCAUUUCUUGCCGAUCCACACCACGUGGUCCGGAGGCAAGUUAGCGCAAGUGUACUUGGAGAGGUAGUGACAUUGCAUGGAAACCCCAUUAUCGAUUGUGUCAGAUCGAGACCCCCGGUUCACUUCCCAUUUUUGGAAGAGCUUGCAGGAUGCUCUGGGCACGUGGCUCGAUUUCAUACGGCGUUUCAUCCUCAAAGUGAUGGCCAGUUGGAAAAGACAAUUCAGAUACUCGAGGAUAUGUUGCGAGCGUGUGUACUGGACUAUAAAGGUGGGUGGCACGAGUAUUUGUCGAUGGCGGAGUUCGCUUACAAUAACAGUUAUCAGGAAAGUAUAGCGAUGGCGCCAUUUGAGGCACUUUAUGGACGAAAGUGUCGCUCCCCUAUCCACUGGAGCGAGGUGGGUGAGAGAGUCACACUUGGUCCGGAUGUGGUGCGAGAGGCGGAAGAGAAAAUUUGUCUUGCCCGCCAACGAUUGUGGACGGCACAAUCGCGGCAACGAAGCUAUGCGAAUAAGCGCCGAAAGGAUUUGGAAUUCGCGGUUGGUGACCAUGUGUUUUCAAGGUAUCGCCUAUGCGCGGGGUGAAGCGGUUUGGCAUUCGGGGGAAGCUUAGUCCCUGAUACAUUGGACCAUACGAGAUUCUAGAGCGGAUUGGGCCGGUGGCGUACAAGUUAGCGUUACCGCCGAAGCUUGCGGGUGUGCACAACGUGUUCUAUGUAUCAAAUCUGCGCAAGUAUUUUCGUAACUCCUCACAUGUGAUGGAGUUUGAGCCGGUAGAGCUGCACGAAGAUGUCACUUAUGAAGAGUUUCCGGUGAGCAUUCUUGCUCGAGAGGAGCGGAAGCUACAAAAUCGGACUAUUCUGUACGUGAAAGUGCAAUGGAGUAAUCACUUGAGGCGUGAAUCCACGUGGGAACUCAAGGAGAAGAUGCGCGAGGUCUAUCCUCACUUGUUCGAUCAAGUGAGCUAAGGUACGUGUUAAGUUUCGCGGACGAAACUAUUUUUAAGGGGUGGAGAAUGUAACAUAUCGCAUCCCCGUGAAUCGUGCCGAGUUCCGUCGAAACGGGCGGAGCACGGAGUCGGAUGAGUUACAAUGGGUUCUAAGUGUUUUGGAACCUUGGUAUGGAGUAAAAGGACCCAAGAGAGCAAACCUGUAAAAAAUUGGCUAAGUCCUAGAAUUUGGACUCUCGGGGUCCUGUCCCUGCGGCGAGAGGCCGGUCCCGGUAAGCUAGAAAGCUACCUAGCGACUAAGUAUCAAGUUUUGAGCUCUCGGAGUCUAGUCUCUCUGGCCAAGGAUCGAUCCCCAUACGCGAGAUCUGCCGAAAUUGUGAAAAUUUGGCUAAGUCCCUAAAGUCAAGCUCACGGGGUCCGGUCCCUGCAGGGAGAGACCGGCCCCCAUAUGCGAAAAUUGCCCGAUGAGGGCUGAUGUGAAAUGGUGAAUUGUGAGGGGCUUAAGUGCAAGAAUGACAUGUUGAAUGGUUAUGUGGCUUAGGGCUUGGGUUAGGGUUCAUUUCCCUCAACCCAACACACAAGAGACUUCCCUCUCUCUCUCUAAAAACCUUCUCCUCUCUCUUCCUCUCUCUCUAGAGCUUGGAUAAGGAAGGUUUUGGAGGAGCAAGGCUUGGAGAAGAAGCUUCCCAAGGUGGUGGUUAGCUUGUGCUAGAGCUUUUGAAGGAAAAGCUUGGACUCUAGGUGAGUUUCAAUGGUUUUUGAGUUAGGGUUUGAGUAGUAGCUUCUAGUAAUGGCAUCUAGGGGCUUUUAUAGUGGUUUUCCCUAUGAUUCUUCAAGUCUAGGGACUUGAUUGGAAAAGAUGAUUUUGUAUAAGGGGCUAAUAUUAGGGUUUGGUUUAUAUAAGGUCUAAUCUUGGGAUUGAUCUCCUUCUACCCUAAUUGGUAGGUCAACGAACGCGUUGGUGCGCUCGGUUCGGCAAUCCGACGAGUGUACGCGGAGAAAUUCAAGAAAAAGGCUAAAUUGGUACAGAUUGCCGCAGCUUACGACGUAGGUGUCUAAAAAUCACGAAAUCAGGAUCGUGGCAUCCUAGCAUUCCUACAAGGUGGAGGGUGCUAUCCGAAAGCACUAAAUCUCCUUCUAUGUCUGUGUUACUUUAUUGAGCAUAUUGAUGUACUAUCAUUUAUGCAUAUAGGGUAGUGUGAUGUGUAUUUGGUUGAAAUUCAAUUAUAUGCUUAGAGAACAUAUGAAUUGACAAAGAACCAUGUGACUAUGAAUGUGAAGAACCCUAUGUGUAUGUGAAUGUAUGAAAGAGACUAUGACAAUAGUAAACAAAGGUGACAUUAACAUUAGUGACGAGAUUGGCACCGAGAAUGAGAACGGCUGAACAAGGUUUAACUUAGAGUGGCAUCAUGACCAUUGUGGCUCGGAUAUAGUGGUAUAUACAUGAUUAGGUAGCAACCUAUCACUGGUAUUGAGGCAUUGUGAAUUGAGACAAGUUUGGCUAUACUUCCUCAAAUUGAGGAAUGGAUCGUACUCACAUUGGUUCCGACUUGAGGGAGGUAGCUCCUCCUCAAGCGGUGUACUCCGGAGUGUGGACACCACGGGGAGAGUGCCCCGGCGAUGAUCCCCCCGGGAAGUGCCAAGCGCCUUCCCCGGUAGAUGGGAUAUGUGGUUUGUGAGUUUGGGGUAAACCAAGAGCACUCCAGGAUGAUUAGGUAAAGGCCAAAGAAAAUGAGAACAAGAACAUGCAUGCAUAAUUAUCUUGUACAUGACUAUCUAUCUGUUGAUAGCUUUCUUGCAGGCAUUGUAUUAAUAGCAUUAGUUGGUUUGUUAUCUACUUUUCUUUAUAUACAUAUGCCUGAAUAGACCUAGUGGGCGAGUAGGCGUGGUCGGCGGCCGAACCCACUUGGAACUUCGUUGUAGUUCUCAUACCACUAACCCUGUGUUGAUACCAAAAUUGAGCCGACCUAACCUACGUAUGAGCCAAUAAGGACACGUGGUACACCAGGAGUCGGCAAUAAGGCGCCUGAAGGACAAGAAGGCGGGAACGGUUGAAGAUUGGGGCGUAACUUCUAUGAGGAGUUAGCGUAACUUUCAUGAGGAGUUAGUAUAAUUUCCACGAUCAUGGUUACAACCACUCCCCCCAACUACUUUCAACCAACUAAUAAUGUGGGCUAUAAAUAGUAACUUUGAAGCCUGCAAUAGGGGUCUUCGCCCCUGCGCACAAAAGACCACCUUUAUUUUCCUGCAUCUUUCUUUCUCGCAUUUACUGCUUUUCCUAGGAGUAGUCUCUGUAACUUAGAUAUUUGGAGUCUGUCUGCCCCAUGAGCAUCACUCCCUUAUAGAAUAUAUUUGGAGUUUGUCUGCCCCACAGGCAUCACUCCCCUAUUCUUGUACUCUUCUAUUCCCUAUUCAAUAGAAAGUCACGUUCGGCUAUUCGGGCCGACCAGAUUUUAUGUUGUGCUAGCCAUUCGGCUCAUCUCCCGGCUUAAUUUUCGACUUUCCCCGCACAUUCGGCUCAUCCAGCCGAACCGGAGAGUGAAAAGAGCUUUCGGACCUGGCUGAUUCGAUCCCUCAUCAGCCAAAUCGCUUGAUCCAGUCGAAGGGCGCAAACUUCGAGGGUCACUAUCCGCAGCCGUUCCUCACCCCAACACGCUCCACGAGGAGGAUCUUUGACCGGGUCAAAAGUCGGGAAAUUCGGCUACCAACAAAUUUUGGCAGCCCGGUGGGAUUCUAUUUUUAAGAUUAUAGCUGAUGAUAACGCCAUAAAUCUACGUAAUAGGGCCAUUCCUAGAAUUUCUGAAAGUAAUCAACCUAGUGAUUCAGACAAUGCUGGCGAAUGUCAAGCAGUUUUGCCAGUUAAAGGAGAAACUAUUGGAUAGUCGGCUCAUCAAGAGCCGAGUCUAACUCAGGCACUUGACCAGAUGAGCCGAGUCCUGCAAACUUUAGAUCAAAAUAUCCAUCAAAGUACCGCUCGACUAGACGCGGUGCUGACCGCUAUCACAGCCUAUAAUGAAAAUAUUGGUCGAAUCAGACAAUUAUUUACACGAAACGUGCAACCUUAUGGGGGGGCAACAAGGGCCCCUAAAUGUGCCGGUGCAACAAAAUCCCGUCACGCCGGCGGUCUCACAGGCGCAACCGCAAAUGGCACAUUUCCAGGUUGCUUACAGGCCGGCGAAUAUAAACGCCGCCCCUCAGUCGGAGAUUGCAUCGAGUUUACCUCCUUUACUAGCUUAUCAGCCCCAAAAUGUAGGGAUUAGGGCUGGGGGGUAGGCCCCUAAUGAUAUGCAAGGAGCGAACCCUGCAAUACAGAAUUCUGGAGUUCCUCAAGGGCCAAAUUCGGCUCAAGCACAAGCUCCGCUGUAUGCUCAGAUUGAGGAAGUCAUUCGAAAUACCUUCGGAGUAGGGGCCAGGCCGGCUAUGCGGCCUGUUUUUCGAUCCCCGUAUCCAGCAAACAUAGAUACAGAGCAUCCGUAUCCGGCAAACUGGAAAAUGCCGAAGUUCGACAAGUUCUCGGGCGAUGAGACCGAGAAUACGGUAGAGCAUAUAGCCCGGUUCACGGCCCAAUGUAGAGAAGCGGCCGCUAACUCAUUUUUGAAACUUCAAUUAUUUAACACGUUGUUAACUAAAACGACGUUUACUUGGUAUACAAGUUUAUCAGCCAAUUCCGUCCAAGAUUGGGACGAAUUGGAAAGAAAAUUUCAUGAGCGAUUCUAUAGAUCAGAGCCACAAUUAUCGGUCGCCGACUUGGCUUUAUACCGACAAAUGUCAGGUGAAACGGUCGAAGAGUAUUUGGACCGUUUCAAAAUAGCCAAAACCUGGUGCUUUAUGAGAAUGCCGGAAUCAGAGUUCGCCAAAAUGGCGUUAAAUGGUCUGCAUUUUAAGAUAAAAGACCAUUUUGAAGAUAAGUAUUUUUCUAACCUAUUUGAUCUAGGUGUUCGAGUUGCCCAAUACGAGCAAUUUCAGAAGAAAAGUGAGGACGAUCGGCUGCAAUGGAGCCGAUAUAAAAAUCAAAGCAAAGGCAAGGAGAAAUCCUUGCUAGAAGAACAGUCGGUUCAAGAAGAGCCGAGCCAAUCGAGUGAAAGUGAAGAAUCGGCUGAUGAAGCCGAGAUAUAGCCACUUUCUUUAAGAAGAAUUUCUUGAUAGAAAAACAUUCGGUUCAAGAAGAGCCGAACUAAUCGAAUAAAAGUAAAGAAUCGGCUGAUGAAGCCGAGAUAUAUGUGGCUGGGAUGAUAAAGCGCCGUUUUCCUAAAGCCGACCAAGACCAGCGAAACUAAAGCUUGGGUCUCGGCUGUGCUUUUGAACAGUCGAUUUGGCACCAAUAGUCAUCCGAAUGUUCAUUCGAAAGACUAUUGGGGGGGCAUUGUUGAUACCAAAAUUGAGCCGACCUAAUCCACGUAUGAGCCAAUAAGGACACGAUGUAAGGAAGUGAAUUCUCGAAAUCCGAGGAUUCGACUUCGCUUAGAAUCGACUAUUUGUCGAGUGUAUAAGCUUCGGAAAGUCCGAAGGUGAUUAUAAUGCAUAAAGUGCAUUAAGGAAAGGUCCGCGAGAGCAGCAGAGCAAAUUUGCACUGAAGCAUAAUUGCUCUCGGGGACCGGUCCCUGGCAGGGAGGGACCGGUCCAUCAGGCUGGGCUUGCGGGGAUCCGUGAUGCAACCGGUCCCUGGCAGGGGAGGACCGGUCCCCGAACGUUAACCCAGCGAAAAGUCCCGAAAUUUGGCUAAGUCCCGAAAACCCAACUCUCGGGAACCGGUCUCUCGGACAAGAACCGGUCUCCCGGAGACCGGUAUCUUAGGCAGGAACCGGUUCCCGAACGUGAAACUCCCUCUGCCUGAGAUGGAAGGCUCUCGGCGAUCGGUCUCCCCGACCUGGGACCGGUCCCUCACUGCGAAAAUGCCCAGUGAGGGCUACUGCAGAGGAUGGAAAGUUGAGGGGGCUAUUUGCAAAAUGGCCUAUAUGAGAGGUGGGGGACCCCUCUCUUCCUCUCAUUUGCUCUCUCUCCCUUUCACACUCUUUCCCUCUCUCUCUCUAGAACGAAAGGAAAAGAGAAUGGAAAGAGAAGAAGGAAAAGAAGGAAAAGAAGAAGAAGAGGAAGGAGAAGACCAAGAAGAAGAGGAAGAUCAUCUUCUUCCCUCUUUCCUUCAAGCUAGAGCAAACUUGGGGCUUGGCAUAGAGGUAAGCUUCAAACCCAUCCAUGGUGGAUUUCUUGAGAUUGGAUUUUAUUGCUUAGAAAUGGUUUGAAUGGAACCUAUUGAAGCUAGGGUGAUGGUUCGAGCUCGCAUUCAAAGCUCGCACCACGGAUUUCCCCAUCGUUGCCAACCUAGGGCACGAAUUCGGGAUUUUUGGAAAUCUAGGGUUUUGAUCCAUUUUAAUAGGUCGUAAACCUAAUUGCUAGGUCUCGGAACGCGUCGGCGAAGACGGUUCGUCGAUACGACGAGCGGGUGCGAAGAUAUCUCCGAAUCAAGCGCUUAAGGGUUCGGAUCGACCUGAGAAGUCGAAGCGUCGACCAAGGACUGCGAGAUCGAGUUUUCUACCAUCGCGGCAUCACCAAGAGGUGGGUGGUAACCAUCCCGAAACAAUCGGGCUCCCUCUUAUGUCUUAGUAUUUUGAGACCAUGCAUCUUGUGUUCACAUGCAUUGUAGGAUAAUUGUGCAUUGCCUUUCCUUAUGCUUUCCUAUCUGAUACCAUAUUAUGUAUUGGUUGCUCGAUAUAGUGGAUCGAUGAGGAUUGGGUCAAGACUUGUAAUUCUAUAGUGCAGCAAUAAAAGAAUGACGAAAGGGUUGAAAUAAAAGAACCAGUGGCAUCUAGUUGUUAAUUAAACAAAGAACGAGUGGCAUAUGUGAGUCGUAGCGUAUAUGAAACCCAUUGACUAUGGUGGUAGUAGCCCUAGAGGAUAGGGUACCCUUGAGGUGGGAGAAUUGGAUCAUACUCAUUGUCUGUUCCCGACUUGUGGUGGUCGCUCCACACAAGUAGUGCGCUCCGGAGUCAGUCACGAGGGAUGGCCUAUUUGGGGUCCCGUGGGAUAGGGAUGGCCUAUUUGGGGUCCCGAGGGAUGGCCUAUGUGGGGUCCCGCAGACAGUCUCGGAUUCGUAGUUAUCGAGAUGGCUAUGUGAGUAGUGGGCGAAUCCUUGAAUGAGCCACGAGAUUAAUGAACAAGUAAAUAGCCUUACUUCUUGGACAUAUGAAGAGCUAGUUGAUUAUCCAUUUCAUUGUGCAUGCAUUCUUCAUAUACAUGAUUCGGGUACAGUAGUAUAGCUUUACUAUUCCGUUUUCAUAGCUCUUCAUAUCUAUCUAUCUGUUUAUCUACUUGUGCCCACUUAGACCUAGUGUGGAGACUGGCGGAGUCGACGGCCGAACCCAUUGGGAACUAUGGAAGAUAGUUCUCACCCCACCUUUUUCAGGUCCGAGUUCGAGUGUCCCCGGCGAGCGCGAGGAUCGUGGCAAGGGCGUAGCGCCCUAGUGAUAUACGUACAUAGCUAGCUUACUUCCCUUUUGCAUUAGCUCUACCCUGUAUCUAUGUUUGAGAGUAGAUGAUGUAUAGGGUGAGGUUUUGGAGAGUGAUUGUAUAUGUAUAUAUUUUGGAAGUCUGUAAAGGAUGAAAUAAUUGUAAAAGUCAAAUGAGUUUAAUAGUUAAUACAUCUCUCUCUUAUCACUUGUAUGCCUUACUUGUGUUGCUUGCUCUUGGUUGUUAAGCACUGUUUGUGCUCCGUCGUUAUUGUUAGAUCAUGUAUUUAGACAAGUCUGUUUCCUGGGGACUUGUGUACAUGAUCUCGUGGGGUGAGCCUUGGGCGGACAGGGGAUUUGCUGUCUGUUCGGCGGUCCGUUCGCCGCGCCGGAACCGGACCAAAUCGGUAGCGGCCUCGGGGCGGGGGCGUGACACGUGGUACACCAGGAGUCGGCAAUAAGACACCUGAAGGACAAGAAGGCGGGAACGGUUGAAGAUUGGGGCGUAACUUCCAUGAGGAGUUAGCGUAUUCCAUGAGGAGUUAGUAUAACUUUCACGAUCAUAAUUACAACCACUCCCCCCAACUACUUUCAACCAACUAAUAAUAUGGGCUAUAAAUAGUAACUUUGAAGCCUGCAAUAGGGGUCUUCGCCCCUGCGCACAAAAGACCACCUUUAUUUUCCUGCAUCUUUCUUUCUCGCAUUUACUGUUUUUCCUAGGAGUAGUCCCUGUAACUUAGAUAUUUGGAGUCUGUCUGCCCCAUGGGCAUCACUCCCUUGUAGAAUAUAUUUGGAGUCUGUCUGCCCCACGGGCAUCACUCCCAUGUUCUUGUACUCUUCCAUUCCUUAUUCAAUAGAAAGUCACGUUCGGCUAUUCUGGCCGACCAGAUUUUGUGUUGUGCUAGCCAUUCGACUCAUCUCCUGGCUUAAUUUCCGACUUUCCCAGCACAUUCGGCUCAUCCAGCCGAACCGGAGAGUGAAAAGAGCUUUCAGGCCCGGCUGAUUCGAUCCCUCAUCAGUCGAAUCGCUUGAUCCAGUCGAAGGGCGCGAACUUCGAGGGUCACUAUCCGCAGCCGUUCCUCACCCCGACACGCUCCACGGGGAGGAUCUUUGACCGGGUCAAAGGCUGGGAAAUUCGGCUACCAACACCCUGCAGAUCCAUGCGCGAGUGGGGCGGAGAAGGAUUGAGGUAAGGGAUUAGCGCCGUAGUUAGCGGCCUUCGGAGUUAUCGGCAUACCCUAUAUGUACAUUCAACUUUUGUAUGUUGAACUAAGGAAUGUAAAUAAUAUAAACCUUAUAUUUUGGUUAAAGGACAAUGUGAUGUAAAUGAAUGGAAAGGAAAAGAAUGAAUGUAAUAGUUUACUUGUAUUUGAUUUAAAUGAAAUCAAAUGACAUGUAUGUGGUUGUAUGUUUAGUGUUGUAGCAUAGAUGCUUUCACUAUUAUGGUUGUUGCUUGCCCUCGAGCAAGCCUUGUAUAAUUGUAAUCUCUUGUUUGAUUUGCUUGUAUUAUACAUGUUGUUAGAGCCUUGGGCGGACAGGGGAGGUGCUGUCCGUUCGGUGUCUGUCGGCGUGCCCGAAUCGACCAAAUUGGCGGCCUCGGGGCGUGACACCAAGUUGUCAUGCAUCAAAAGUGGAGUUUUGCACGCAAGUCCCGCCUUAUUCCAAUUUUUCAUGACGAGGCUUCCACAUGAGGUGUAAAUCGCAUAGAACCCCUCCACAACCAGCCCCAUUUAGAUCCAUAUAUAAAAUAAUAGGUUUUUCCUCCCGAGACCCAAGCUGUGCAUCACCAAUUUAUCAAAAAUCUGCCAAUUUUCCACACUCGGGUUGCCGAAUCCAAAAUCUGACUUCACUAUGACUCCCGGCACUGCCAGACCAUUGAAAACGACCUAUUGAAUCGAUCAAAACAGUGUCUGCUUCACAUCUGAAGCCAAAGUUACGCGUUCAUCCAAAAUCGAAAAGCCAAUUAUUAUUUACUUAAGUGAAAACUAGAAAUCGCGUAAACAGCUUCAUUUUAAUUCGUUUUGCCCCGAAACUUGACGAGUGCUUUUGUAAUUAAAAUACACACAAAAACAUCGUCAACAGAGAGUUCAACUACACUGCGAAAUUCUCAGUCCUUACACGCCCCAGAUCCAAAUGCUCAGAUUCGAAUUGCAACAAUCGGCCACGAAUUCAGAGGAAGAACCUCCGAAAAACGAAAGGCCUUAAAUUGAUCCAAAGCCACUAUCUCAGUUAAAGACUAAAUAAUUUAUUAAUUAAAACAAAACUAAACAAUAACUACUAGAUGUCCAAUUAAUCAACCUCAAAUCAAAAUAAAUCAUAUGUCCAAAAUUUAAAAUUUAUCUAACGAGUUCUCGCCGGCCAAUUAUGUCACGCCCCGACACCCGCCUAUUUGGUCAGAUUCGGGGACGCCAACAAACCGCUGAACUGACAGAGUUUUUUCUGUACGUCCUAGGCGUCGCAAUCAAUACAAUACAAGAGCUUCCAACUAGGAACAAUAUUCAAACAAAGAUUGCAUAAGGAAGUAUCAACAACAUAAAACAACUAGCUAUUACAAGCAUUCACAUAAAUGCAUUGUACACCACUUUUACAAUUUGCUUUCAUCCAAAUACAAUCUAAGUUAAUACAAAUUUAUUACAAUUUUGGUUCCUUCAUUUCCUUUCCAACCCUAAGCUAGACCAACUCAGGGUACUGCUAUCUCUGGUCACUGGGGUAGGGCACUAUCUACGGAGUUACGCCCUUUCCUCGCGCCGCCGCGCCGCUCACGUGUGAACCUAUACCCCCAAAAACAACACCGGGGUGAGAACUAUUGUCCAUAGUUCCCGGUGGGUACAGCCACCCAAGGAAAAAGCUUGACCCACCAGAUCCGAAGGAGGCACUACAAUAUGUUAGUCCAACAAAUAUCCACAGAUAUAUAUAAUCAUAUGAUUUAUGCAACUAACAUCAUCAUGUUCAUGCCUCAUAAUAUGCAAUAUGAAAAUCAUGCAAUUUUAUGCAACUAUGCAACCAAUUAGUAGAUCCAUUGAUUCUACAUUCAAUUCUGCUAAUCUUAGCUCAUGUAAUCUAGCUUCUAAGGUUUCUACUUCCAUAGGUUCACAACUCAAAUCCAACUUGCUUCUAAGAUCUCUAUUACUUUAGCUCUUGCCAUUUAUCACUAGCUUUUAAGGUUUCUACCACCUUAACCAAGCUAUCCACCCGACUCGGCCUCGAGUCAAUCAUCUGCGGACUAUCGAGCACUAGCUGCUCAACAGCCCACCUCACUCCGUGACUAAGCUACCGGGCGGCGAAAUCGUCGCACACGCCCAACACUGGCUCAAGUCACCUGGCCAUAAUCCACAAACCGGCUUAACUAUCUAGCGGCGAAAUCGUCGCACACGCCGAACAAUGGUUUAGCCCCGGGCGGCGAAAUCGUCGCACACGCCCAAUACCUCCUUUCGGUGUUCCAUAAGUCUUGGGAUUUCGGAAUCCAUUUCCACAUCUCAAGGCUAGUCAUACACCCUAUGCUGUUGAUAGGGGUGGAAACGAGCCGAGCUCGAGCGAGCUUACCUCGGCUCAAAUUCGGCUUGAAAUUAAUUUCGAGCCUAAAUUUAAGCUCAAGCUUGGAUUGAAAUUAAUUCGAGCCGAGCUCGAGCGAGCCUAAUUUCAAGUCGAGCGAGCUCAAAAAAAUAAUUUAUGGUCUGAAAUAUCUAGAUUCUUUAGCCUCAUAUUUCUUCUCUUUCCCCUUCAAUCUCUAUAUUAUUCAUUUUCGUUAUGCGGUCAAAAAUAAAAUAAAUAAUAGAUAAAUAUUGGAUUAAACUAUCCAAUCAUAUAUAACUAAAAUAAAAUUUUAUAUAGAUAAUAAUUUUUAUUUUAAAUAUAUCUGUAUAUUUUCUCAAGCAUACAAUUAAUAGCAAGGUAGGCAACGACGGCAUAUGUUGUUAGCUUGUAACUUGGAGGCUCUGGCUUGGCCACUUAUGUGAGAGACAAAAUAAGAGAGAGAAACAUAUAAAAAAUUUAGAAGCUUUGUGAAAAAAAAGAAGAAAAGGAAAAAUGUAAAAAUUUAGUAAAAUUGAUCUUUAUUUGUCUAUUGGUUUGUUUUUAUGGCCCAACAACAUUGCCCAAUUUUAACUAAACUAAGAUUAAUUCACUCAGCCUAUAUAUAAUUAAAAUAUAUUAUAUAUUUAUAUAUUUUUUUAAUAUAUAUAUAUAUAUAUAUAUAUAUAGUAUAUAUAUAUAUAUAUAAUGAGUCCGCUAUAUCUAUCGUAGGACGAGCGCUCUGUGCUACCAAGUUGUUUCGAUGAUGCGGCUUCCAAAUCGACGAUCGCUCCGUUAGACUUGAUCUAUACUAUUGAAAGUAUUGUGAAACUAAAUUUCAAAUUUUUUCGACAUUCAUUUGACUAUGAUCAAAAGAUCUCAAAAUUGACAAUUUUAAUGGCCGAUGUGGUGUGUUUGUGAGUUUAACGGUGUAAAACAAUUCAAAUGCGAUGAAAAUUUUAUAGAAAAUUCUUUUCACAUAUUUUAGAGUAAGAUCAGUAUAUCUGAUCUUGAAUUAAAUCUUUUGUCAUUUUUUUAUGAGAUUUUUAUUUUUAGCCGUUCAAUUUUAGACUACUUGUUUAUAGGUAAAUGAUAUCGAAAUUAUGAAAAUUUAGUUUCUAAUACUUUCAAAUAGUGUAGAUCAACUCUAACGGAGCCGAAUCGUCGAUUUGGAAGCGCAUCAUCGAAAACAACUUGGUAGCACGGAGCGCUCCGUGCUACCUGAUAGUAUAGUAGCCUAGCUCUAUAUAUAUAUAUAAUAUAUAUAUAUAUAUAUAUAUAUAUAUAAUAAAUCUACAUGCUAUCGAAAAUAUAGAGGAUUGAUGUUUUUCGAAUUUUGGCCCUUGAUUAAGAAUUGUAUGUUGGAUGAUUGCGGUCCCCCUAAAGAUUAAAUAAUACCCUCCCAUAAUAAAUUAAGAUCCCCCCUGGCGUUAGUAGGGUUGGUAUGUUAAGAAUUAGUUUCCCGGUUUUUAAGCUUUUGUAGUUUAGGAGAUAUAAAAGCUAUCGUAUCAUCAAGUAUAUAUAUAUAUAUAUAUAUAUAUAUCCUAGGAUUGAGUGGUCCCUACAAGGUAAUAAUAGUAUUAAUUCAAAGAUAAGAAAUGAUUAAAGGGGUUGAUCUAAGAAUCAAAAAAUCGAAAACACCAAAUCCUCUAUACUUUCGAUAGCAUAGUAGCUCUACUAUAUAUAUAUAUAUAGAGUUGUGCUCCUAUACUAUCUGUAACAUAUCACUUCCCCGUGAGUCGUGCCGGGUUCCGUCGAAAUGAGCAGAACGCGGAAAGGAAUGGACUACUUGUGUUUGGUUCAAAUGAAAUCAAAUAACAUGUAAUGGAUGUUUCGUUAGUUUCGAUGCUUUCACUUGUGUUGUUGUUUGCCCUCGUGCAAACCUUGUAUAUUCCACAAUUCUCUUUUGACUUGCUUGUAAUAUACUUGUUGUUGGAGCCUUGGGCGGACAGGGGAGGUACUGUCCGUUCGGCAUCUGUCAUGUGCUCGAAUCCGACCAAAAUGGCGGAGCUCGGGGCGUGACACUAUCAAUAGUAUAGAGACUCCUAUACUAUAGUGUUUUAAACCAUUGGAUCAUCUUUGAGAUUCGUGCACAGAUUUGAAGUUUUAAAUGAGAUGAGGAGGGAUGGAGCAACUUAACACCGUUAACAAAGAAAUAAAAUAGGAGAGAGAAUCCCAUUUCAUACCACUCUCUCUCUCUUUCUCUCUUUCUCUCUCUCUCGAAAUCCCAACCUGAAACCUCUCUUUCUCUUUCUCUUUCUCUCUCUCUCCACCCCAACAUCUCUCUCUCUCUCUUUCUUUCCCAUUUCUCCCAGAGGAACUCAUCUCCCACCAUCUCUAGCUCUCCCUCCCUCACCCCGCUCCUCCCCCCCGCCCCCACCUGCCGGCCCCACACGCCGGCGCAGCUUGUGGACGCUCCAACCCUAGCGGCGUGCGACACUGCUCCGCAAAGCCCUCCAAACCCACCUGCGGACAUUGCCUGGACGCCGCGGCGACGUUGCUCCCCGACACCCUCCAAAUCCAAGGGCACCUCAUGGACCACAACAACAACAAAAAUCAUGAGCAGGUUAAUUUAAUCCCUAGUUAACUAAAAUAUUUUUUUUCUUUAUAUUAAAUGGUUGAUAGGAAAUUAUUUAUUUCUUAAGUUAUAGAUUCAUAUUUUGUUGAUAGGAAAUUAGUUACAAGUGUUUAUUUUUUGGGAAAACUUCAAAAACCCCCCCUGUGGUUUCGUGCAUUCUCACUUUGCUACCCUGUGGUUUAAAACGUAUCAAUUUACCCCCCUGUGGUUUCAUUUUUAUCUUUUCGGAAGCUUUUUCGUUAAUAUUUCGUUAAAUUAUAUACAAAAAACUUCAGAUAACCAUCUAUAUUUAUCGAAUAGUCACUUUAGUAUCCUUUAAUUUUAACUUUGUCACUGAUUUUAAAAAAUAAUAAUAAUAAAAUUGAUAACAAAAAGAUAAAAACGAAACCACAGGGGGGCAAAUUGAUACGUUUUAAACCACAGGGUAGCAAAGUGAGAAUGCACGAAACCACAGGGGGGGUUUUUGAAGUUUUCCCUUAUUUUUUUCUCUUUUAUGAUUUUAUUGCAAGUAAAUAAAUAGAAAAUUUCUUACAUUUUUUGGGGAUAAAAAUUUAUUCUCUGUACAUUUUAUCUUUAUGGUACUUUUUUAAAAAGUAAAACAAAAAAAUUUUAAGAAAUCAUAUGAGAUGAUUAUAAUAAUUAAAUAUAUAAACUUCUAGCUAACUAUUUAUAACUUACUUUUAUAUUCCUGUUUUAUGAUGUUUAAUGUUAUAGAUGGAAUAUAUACUUUUCAAUCUGAAAAUAUUAGAAGAAACAAUGAGAAUAUGAAUUCAGAUGGUUGAUCUAUAUUGUCAAAGCAAUGCUCCAGAAAAUAUUAGUGAUGAUUUUGAUGCCGAUUUUAGAUAAACAUGAGAACCAAACAGUUUAUGGCAAGAUAGGGAUGCAAUGGAAGUUGUAAGUGAAGACCCUAUAUGGUAAAGAAUUUAACAGUGCUGAGGAACGGCACUACGUUUUUAUAACUCAUAUGCAUUUCGACUCGGAUUUAGCAUAAGAAAGGCUAUUCAAUAUAAGCAAGGAAACAAGAUGAAUGAUGACAAGUAUGCUCUUGACUUGUUCAAAAAGAGGUGUCAAUCUAAAGUCCGAGACAAUGACAAGCGUAGUAUUACAACUACAAGCCAAGGCAAGUCACACCGUUACAGGCGGCAAAUUUCAUAAUAACACAAACGAUCAGGCAUGUAGAAGCCUUAUGAGAGUAAAGAUGAUAAAAGAAAUAAAGUGGGUGUGUACUAAGAUCUUAUAGAAGAGCAUCAACAUGAUCUUAAUGGCAAGCCCCCAACGAAAACAAGUUUCGCUUCGUUCUCAUCGUCUAUAUCUUCGAAUGAAGCAAUAAAACAAGUUAUACACUGUUAAUGAGAUAAAAUUAUUUCAACAAGUCAAAUUAUUCUUACAUAGCAGCAAGAGAUGGGGGAUCGCAAAUAUCAUUUUGCUAUAAAGAAUUUAAUGUAAUGAGAUUGUGUCAACAAAUAGGGACUUGUUGGAGUUAUGUUGCAAAUGGCUCUCAAUUAUCUUCGUGCAACUCAUGCCUCUGAUCCUUCAUUUUUUUACUCAAUUGAGGUUGACGAGAUAAUCAUAUGACGAAAAAUAUAUUUUGGAAUUGAUGGGAGAUCCGAGAUUGGCAUACCAACUUUUAAUGAUGUUGUGACAUUGAUACAACUUAUAUGACAAACAAAGUAUAACAAUGCCAUUUGCUCCAUUUGUUGGUGUUAAUCAUCAUAGACAAUCAAUCUUUCUUGAUUGGCCUCUUAAGGGAUAAACUACCGAUACUUUUUUUGGUUGUUUCAUACAUGGUUACAGGCAAUGUCGGAGUGCAUCCAAAAGCAAUUAUUACAGACCAAUGAUCCGGCAAUGAGAAAAAGCAAUUGGUCAAGAUUUUUUCCAAUACUGUGCAUAGAUGUUGUCAAUGGCAUGUAUAGAAAUGGCAAGAGACAUUUGGAGUGUUGAUAUAACAAAAAGGAAGGUUUCAAGAAUGAAGCUAAAAUCAUCGUAUUAAUUAUAGCUUGACAACAGAAGAAUUUGAAAUUAGGUGAAUGAGAUGCUCGAUAAAUAUGACUUGCAUAUGUGACAACCACCUUCAAUUAUUAUGGAAUACUGCGGCAUCAAUGGGCUCACUGUUAUUUUUUAGGGACACUUUUUUGCCGAUAUGUCUACUUUCACCAACGGAGUGAGAGUGCAAAUUAUGGUUGAAAAUGUUUGGUGAUUCGCAUACAUCAAAUCUAUAGAUUUGUACAACAAUUGACAAAAUAAUUCGAAGUCGAUACAGAAAGAAGAAGAGGAGGAAUUCAAAACAACGAUGAGAGUCAUCUUUAUGGUCAUUAAUCCCAAUAGAGAAACAAGACAGCGAGAUCUACACUAAAGUCAUAUUUUCAGAUUUUAAAAAGCACUUGAGAGAUGCUAAGUUUUGGAGUUAUUUGAAUGGAGGCAAAUACAAGUUGUACCAAACAACCCUUUUGGAAAAUAUUUAUACAUUAAAACAAGGAUCAUGCUCAUAUAAAGUUGCAAUUGAAGUAGAAACUGAGAAAAUUUGUUGCAAUUGUAAACAAUUUGAAUUCACCGGUAUCUUAUGCCCCCACGCACUACGUGUGAUGCAACAUGUAGGAAUGAACUUUAUUCCUACAAGGUACAUUUUAAAGAGGUGGACCAAAAAUGCAAAAAAAGGAAUGGAAGAUGGCAAAUUAAAACUUACUAGUUCUUGUGGAUCUUCGAAUGGUACUGCACAUUGGUAUGACUCGCUGAAUUUUAAAGUUCAACAGUUUAUUUAUGAAGGAUCAAAAAAUUUGGAGGCAUAUGAGUUGGCUUGCCAUAAGAUUGAUGCAGCUAUUUAGGAGUUAAAGUCACUUAAUUUAGCAAUGGGGAAUAGGAAAGGAACUACGAAAGAAAAACAAUGUGAUUGCCACAACAUUAUUUUAUCACAGUCUACUCAAGUAAGGACAACUAUGGAGGAAUGCAUUGUUAAAGAUCCACCUCAAUCUAAUUGCAAAGGUAAAAGAAAGCCCCAAAGAUAUAAGCCACCGGCUGAGAUGAAAGCCAAAAAGUCUAGAACUUGUGCAAAUUGCAAAAAAAGGGGACAUAAUAUUAGAACUUGUAAAGAGGUAAGCUAAAUUUUUUUACAUAUAUUAUUUACUAGCUAGUUUCAAUAAUUUUUGUUGAAACUAAUAUAAUUUUUUUAUGGUUCUAUAAUACAGGGGCUUACUGUUGCAGAUUGUCUAGAUGGUGAAUCAAGUGAAUCUUCCGGGACAAAUAGUAGAGAUGCAUCAGAGGACUAAAAUUGAGACAGAUGUUCAAUGUGAAAUUAGUUGAUGUACUAUAUGUUGUGUGUGAAAUUAAAAUGUAAUUUUCUCUCCAUUGGAUAUUUAGAGCUAUGGUCUAAAACCAAUCCGAAAUCAAAAUAUUUUGGCUCUUGUUAUGAAUUACAGUAGUACUACAAAGGGCGCUAGUUUUAGAUCAUCAUACCAAGUUGGUUGAAACUAGUUAGUGCUUGAUCAUACGAGUAAUUCGAUCGAGCUUGUCGGAGCUAGUUAAUUAUUUUGAUUUGUUUAAAUGUUGUGUUGUCUUUGUGUGUGUGUGUGUGACUCUGUGUUACUUUGUUGAUCAGAAUAUGGAGAUUUUAUGAAGAUUUGAUGUAUCUAUUUGAUCAUCUUAAAAGGCCUAGAGACUUGUUGCCGCCUAAACCACAGAAACCAUUCGAGUCCGCACAAAUAGGUUUGAAACUUUGCUAUGUCCUGAAAAUAAGCAAGUUGUGGUGAUCUGAUAGCUUAGUGUUGUUGCUAUCUCUUUUUUUUUCGGAACGUAAUUUGCUUGGUAAUACCACAUUGAUACAAAAGAAGCUGGUGCUUGUCCAUUAUUAUUUUGACAAGGCUGAUAAGAUCUAGGAGCAAAUUACAUCCAAAAGAACUCCAUCAGAUUAAAGUAUUAAAAUGAUUAAGUAUUACAUAAUGCAUAAAACAAACUAGAAGAACUUAAAUAUUACAAAGAGAAAAAUUACAAUAAUUAUGAUAAUGAACAAUUUUCUCUCAGCCUCUGUGACCCUUGUGGAGAGCUCAUCAAUUCGCGCUUUUAGAAUACCAAUUUGUUUAGUUGUUUUCAUUUCUACAUGAUUAAUAUGUUCAAACAGCCAUUCAUCUGAAUAUUUUGCCGGCGAUGCAGAACGUUGAAAAAACAUACUCCUUUCCACUUUUGAAGAGUUAGCGCUAUCUUCUUCAGAUAUAUCUUUGUCUCUCCUUAUAAUUUUAACAUCGCACCAUUGAAAAAAAUCACAAUAAUUUUUAUUUUCUUUCUUAUAAUUAGGACACCCAUAAAAUGAUCUUCCACUACUAUUAGGUUGAGAGGAAACUCGUAAAACAGCUACUUCAUUACAGUUGCAGUGAACAAUCCGCUCGUUGGUUGCGCUUCUCAUGCUAAAUGAUAAUAAUUACCUACAUGAAAAAAUAAUUUAGUUAUAAUAAAUUUAUUUUUAAGGAUGCAUACAAACAUUGAUAAAUUUUUCUUUAAAAAUCAGAAAAAAAAAAUUAGCACAAAUCUUGUUUUUUUAACAUAAUUUUUAAUUUUUAUAAAAAUCAGUAAAAAAAUAUAAAUUGUACCAAGAAUCGUGUAUUUAAAUAUUUUUUUGUAGAAAAAAUAAAAAUUAUUUAGUACCAAUCUUGUAGAAUUUUUUUAAUAAAAAUAUAAAAAAAAAUACUUAAAAAAAAGAAAAUACAAGUAUCUUGUAUUUUUUUCAAAGAUCCAUAGCUCAUGACACAUUUUUUUGUAAAUAUUCAAAAACUUAUAUUAAAAUAUAAAAUUUUAAUUCAAUGAAAAGAAAUAUUGGAAAAAAUAAAAUAAAAUUAUCAUUUUCUAUAAUUAUAAAAAAUUGCAUAUGCUCAUCAUUUUAUGUUUUAAAUAAUUUUAAAAAUUUUUAAAAAUUUAACUAAAAAAUAAUAUUUGACCAAGUUUGUCGAGGAGCCCUGUCAUUUGGAGGGCUUUGCGGAGCAGUGUCGCACGCGGCUAGGGUUGGAGCGUCCACGAGCUGCGCCGACGUGUGGGGCCGGCAGGUGGGGGCGGGGGCAAGGAGCGGGGUGAGGGAAGGAGAGCUAGAGAUGGUGGGAGAUGAGUUCCUCUGGGAGAAAUGGGAAAGAAAGAGAGAGAGAUGUCGGGGUGGAGAGAGAGAGAAAGAGAAAGAGAAAAAGAGGUUUCAGGUUGGGAUUUCGAGAGAGAGAGAGAGAAAGAGAGAGAGAGAGCGAGAGUGUGUGGUAUGAAAUGGGAUUCUCUCUCCUAUUUUAUUUCUUUGUUAACGGUGUUAAGUUGCUCCAUCCCUCCUCCUCCCAUUAAAACUCCAAAUCUGUGCACGGAUCUCAAAGACAAUCCAAUGGUUUAAAACACUAUAGUAUAGGAAUCCCUAUACUAUUGAUAGUAUAGGGACACAACUCUAUAUAUAUAUAUAUAUAUAUAUAUAUAUAUAUAGAGAGAGAGAGAGAGAGAGAGAGAGAGAGAGAGAGAGAGAGAGAGAGAGUAGAGCUUAUAUGCUUUUAAGAGCACAGGCCCAUCUGUGCUUGUGAAUUUGUGACCAUAGGAUUUUCUCGAGAUUCGUGCUCUACCAAAAGCCCACUAACAGCCGUUUGUAACUUUCCAUUUCUCUCUCUCUCGUUUUCUUUUAUUGACUGACACACUCUCUUUCUCUCUUUCUCUCUUUCUCUCUUUCUCUUUUCCCAUUACCCACAAAACCCAUUCUCCUUCAAAACUCAUCCUCCUCAAAACCCUCAAAACCCACCCUCAGAACCCAUCAAAACCCACCCUCAAAACCCAUCACCGCGUCGCCUCUACCUCAUGCGCGACGGACGCCGGCCGCCUCACCCUCGCGAGUGCCGAUCGAAGAGCGCCGCGUCGCCUCUACCUCGUGCGUGGUGGCCGCCUCCACCUCCCAAGCGCGGGCCACCUCCCCCUCGCGAGUGCCUGUUGAAGAGCGCCGCGUCGCCUCCACCUCGUGCGUGGAGGCCGCCUCCACCUGACGAGCACCAGCCGCCUCCCCCUCGCGAGUGCCGGUUGAAGACACCACCUCGCAACUGCAAGCCGCCUCCAUCGUCACAGGUAUGAUCACUAAUUUUAAUUAAUUUUUCAAAAUAAAGGUCAUGCUUGUAAGCUUCUAAAGCUUGUAUAUUUGAUUAAUAAUUUUAAUUAGAGCUUCAAAGUAUGUAGUUAAUGUUUAAUUUAAGGUAGGGGCAAAGAUUAUUAUUUUUUUCCUAUCUCAUUGUCACGCCCCGGGGUCCCUUUUUAGUUUAAAGCAUAGCGGAAAAGCGUCUGAAUUUUUUGAAAACCUGACCCCACGGUAUGCCAGAUCCGCCACAAAUACAGGAGAUCCACCGUUCACACGGACAGAGUCUCCCCUGUAUUUGCACGGCGUCGCACAAGUACAAGAGUUCAAACAUGAUACAACCACAACCAGAUGAACAUACAAAUAACCACAGUUAUAUAUAUUCAUACACCAUUCACCACAGAUUCAUAUUUUUUCAUUCAAUAUUUAAACAUAAAUUCACAUCUAUCAGUUAAAAUGUUUCCAAUUACAGAAACAAAUUUUGAAAUACUAAGAUACAAAAUCACAGAAAACCCUUUGAAAACUGUUCCCUACACGGGAACUUUUAUCUUUUAAAACGCUACCACGAGGGGUAGAAAACCAUUUUUAUUUCAAGAAAACACAAAUCCUUUAUUACAUUCCAAAACUAACUGAAAACUCAGAUAUUCAGAUAAUAACACAAAACUGAACCAUGUAAACCGACUAAGCUAUAUAUAUCCACAGAAAUAAAAAGGGUAAUAGCUAAAUCGAAAUAACCUGGGUCGGAAGCUCUAUCGACCGCUACACACGUACCUCACGUCUCGUCCCACUAAACAUCGCCCGCGAUACCUGAAAAAUGGUGGGGGAGGUGAGAACAUGUCGCUUCCCUCCAUUGGUACCGCAAGCCGACGAGGGCGAGGAAGUACUCACGGAUCAGGAAGAUAAACAAUAGUAUAUGGGUAAGUGAAAUACAGUAGCAACGAUAAUGACGAAUGAGAUAAUAGAUAUGAGAGAACAAUACCGCUACUGUAAAUAGAACGAAAAGCAUACAUACAGGGAUAAUCAAAACACAUAGUAGGCAAGACAAUGUAAAGAAGGAAUAAAGUAUACAUGCAACACCGCUACUAUAACUAUAUGCGUCAACCGCGGACAAGUAGUCCAAAGUACUCCAAUCUAAACCGCCGUGUCGGUCUAAGGACCUCAGGCAAAAGCCACUACUGCUCACACCUGGCUGUAACCCUAUAGCACAGAGAAACAGGCAGACUACUGGGCUCAACGGUCGAUGUACAGACCACUUUUCCGAAAAAGAACACCUCUCCUGCGGGGAUCAACUCGCUGGUGUACGUGAAAUGCACUCCGAGCUGUGGCGAUCAAUGCAGAUAUGAAUCAAUAGCCAACCGUCGGCAAUCAGCCGAUAAUCACCGCCCCUCGGGCUAACCGAUCCGUAUAGUCAUCAAGUAACAACGUGAACCGACCAAAUAGGUCAAUAUACGGAAAGUAACGAACGACCAAACAGGUCACCGAUGCAAACAGGAGAACCGACCAACCAGGUCACAAGUAUAAGUAUAUACGAAUGCCAUCUACUCUACCCUAUACAGGAUACUACAUAUAGAACAACCAGGCAAGUAAAUAAAGAUAGUAUGUAGAUACUGCUCGAUGUCAACUAAAAGUACGAACGCAAGAACCGACCAGAUAGGUCACAGGAGUGUAUUCGAUAUAGUCCAGAACUACCGUCAGCACCAGCCGACAAUCCUACCCCUCAGGUAUACCGACCUCAAAGUCAUCGAACGACAGAAGUCAGAAACAGACACACCCAAUACAUAAUCAACAACCGACCAACCAGGUCAACAAGAUAUAAAUAAGCACCGAUCAACUAGGUCCACCGAAACGAAGUACGAGAACCGACCAAUCAGGUCACCGAAACGAAGUACGAGAACCGACCAAUCAGGUCACCGAAAUAAAGUACAGACAACCGACCAAUCAGUCACCGGUAUACAUAUGGAUAAACUGCUCUAACUCCUACACAUGAACUAAGCAUAGAAACAUAUAGUAAAGUAAUAAUUAGAACAACAACGGGGAUGCAAGCUCAAUAUAUAAUGCGAUAGUAAACAACAGAAGAGUAAGGGUAAGAAACCAUCGCCAAGCGUGCACCACUGUUAACCGACUCGAUCGAAGUACCCACCUGUAUAAAGCUGAAACGGUCUCGCGAAGGCGUAAGACGAAGCGACCGACCCUACGAAGGGUCCACCGGUUAGAGUCUAACCCACAAACACAAUAACACGACCAUUCUCACACAAAUCCAAAAUCAUAACCCCUCGAAAUCGGUUUCUCAAAACGCAACCACCGAACCAGCGGAAGUCCCGGAAAACCGUACGAAACUCCACGUCGCUCACGGCGUCACCGUCGUUUCCGAGCCCUCGAGAAGACACGUGACCAGGCCCAACAUGGCUCAGCGACACUACAAUCAACCACGAGGCACCCCGUCGGAUGAAUUCCGAACCGAAACAGCGUUCUACUCGCAAAUUUCGCCGAAAAACGCGCUCGGAAAUCCACUUUUCGAUUUCCGCAAGGGCUUGGGCCUUGGACGAUCAGUCCAGAGGUUACCCUCAGCAUUUACACGCUAUCCACAGGACCGAUCGAAAGUUAUUCGCAAGAAAGCACAUCAUGGAACACUUAAAUCAUUUUAUGCGAUUUCCGACAGUUUUAUGCCAAGUUUGCGAUACGAGUUCGCGCGACCGCCGCACUGCUGAUAGGUUUCAGCGUGCCGGAGACCGUGCUCCACCAUUCGGAGCACAUUCGCGACUGCGGUGCGCGCACAGCGACGCGAAGGUUUUAAACUGCGCGCACCGCGCGAAGUAUCGCGACUAAUUCACUAACCAGGGGCAUCUUUGCCGCUGUGGGAGGUGAGCACGAUGUUCAACACGAACCCUAGAUCAUCGUGCCUCACUUCCAAAAUUCAGGAGCUUAUCGGAAUCACCGAAAGGUGACCGGAAACUCGAAAAACAAGUGCUGGAACAUAAAUGGACACUCACAGUGAUGGGGGGAACUAGGGGUUGGCCGCCGGCGAUAUUCCGCGCGGGCGGUCCGCCGGGGAUGGGUGCACCAGAUGGCGGGGCUCCGGGGCACUCCACGUCAGGCGCGCAGGCGGCCGGAGGUGCGGCGGCGGCGUACGGACCGCCACUCCCUUGCGUUUGGUGCUUUCCAACAGUUGCCAGCGGCGACGCGGCGGCCGGGGCUGUCGGGCCGGUCGGGGAUGACGGCGGGGUCGAAGCGGUGCCGAGCUUGCGUCGGCGGCGGCCGGGCGAUGCCCGGAGUGAAGGCGGCCCGCGCUCGCCGUACAGCACAAGGCGGCGGCAGGGGCCCUGCGGCGGCCGCGGCGCUCAGGGUGGCCGGGUCGGGUGUGGUGGUCGCGGACGGUCGGCGGAGACCUCCGCGGCGUCGAGAAGCGGCGGUAGGACUUGGGGGGCGGCGCGGCUCCAAGGUUGGCCCGGCUCAGAGUCUGGGCUGACGCCGGGUGGCCGCACGCUCCCUCAGGUGGCUGCCGCGUGUCGGGGAAUGGCCGGCAGCGUGGGAACAAGUGCUGGAGGUGCACACGGCCAGGGCUUCCCUGUCGCAGAGGUGGCGGAUUGCCCGAUCCUUGCUCAUCGGCAGGAGGAGGAAAGGAGUGGACGAGAGGGUGGACGCGGACGUUGCAGGAGGGUUUCCGGUGGCCGAGCACGCACUGCCGCGGCCGGCGGCGCGCGCACAGAAGACAGGGGCAGGGCCUCACGCUGGGGCGGCUAGGGUGCUCUAGGUCAGCUGGGGGCGGAUUAGGGUUAGGGUUUCACCUCGAAACCCUAGAUCUUCCUAUAUGUAGGUAGAGUAAACUUUGCGGAAAAACCCCCGAAGUUGAUCAAUUUCGACCCAACUCCCUACCAGUUGGUGCACCUUGCACGACAGUCCCUCCGAGUUCGAAAACUCGCAAAACGGCGCAUAAAAUAAUGGGCUUCUUCGCGAUUUAUUCGUUUUGUCAAAUCAGCCCCUUCGCGGACUUUUCGCGAUUCCCGAAGAUCCGUCCGUCGGAUUUCCGAACGGAUUGCGCUAGCGCGAUAAGCACGACUGGGGCAUCGAAUCUAGCAUUUCGUUUCGCCCGAAAAGGUUUCCGAUUUGCGACAAAACCAUCCCUCCAAGGUUCCACCAAAACUCGCAUAUAGACGACUAUAUGCUAAAACCAUUAAACCCCUUUUUCUCGAAAUCUGUGCAUCCAAAUCCAAUUCCGUCAGUGCCAUUGGUUCCAAAACAGCUGAACCGGUCGAAACGAGCUAUUGGACUGAUAUGAACGGAGUCCGAUACGUGCCAGAAGCCAACUCUACUCCGUGGCUUCUCCGGAAAACCGGAGUUACUAUUCACUUAAGUGAAAACUAAAAGUCGCGUAUCUUCUCCAUUUUAGCUCAUUUUCGCCCAAAAUUUGACGAGUACUUAUGUAAUUAAAUUACACACAUAAAUAUCAUCAACAGAGAGUUUAGUAGCACUGUCAAAAAAAUCUCAGUCCUUACACUCAUUUACAUACGUUUUUAAAAUUUUGUUUAAACAAAAUUUGGGCAUACAAGAGUUCUUGUCAACAAAAGAGGAGAGAGAGAAAAAGUGUAAUAAAAGUUUAUAUUUAAUUAUAUUUGGACCUUUGGAUACAGUUAGUUAAUUAAAUUUUUUUUGAGGUUUUUGAAGUUUUUUUUUUUAUUUGAUUAGUAAUUUUAAUUAUUGCUUCAAAGUAUGUAGUCAAUGUAAAAUUUGUUAUUCUGCUCUCAUAUAUAUCAAAGUAUAAGCAAAUUACAUACAAGUUACACUUUUUUAUUAUCUUAGCAACUUAGAGAACAUUUAUUUGAUUUUUUCUAUAGGGGUUAGUUAAAAGAUGGAACAUGGCUCUAUAAUUGGAUCAUCAGUUUCUUUAUGUAAUUUUGAUGUUGGAAAUGACACGAAUGAGGAAGUUGAAGAAGUGGCUGCUAAUGAACAAAUAUGUAUGAGCAAACAUUCUAUCGAUGAGCCACGUGUUGGUUUAGAGUUCGACUGUAUGGAGGCCGCUAAAAAGUUCUAUAAUGAUUAUGCUUUUAAAAUGGAAUUUAGUAUAAGAAAAUCAAGCCAUUAUAAGGCAAGAAAACAAGAUGAUGCCAUGACAUCUAUAACAUAUUGUUGUUCGAAAGCAGGUUAUUCUAAAUCUGCAACUAACGAGAAAGGUCAACACCAAAAUUGGGAACAAAGUAUGAAACUGCUUGUCAGAUAAUUAGACCAAGAAUUGAUGCUCUAAUAUCAGUUAAUCAGACUCUCGAGAAUGAAGUAGAGACAAUCAAGGAGCCUUCGAAUGAUCUUCAUAGGAUUGUGAUUUCACAAUCAAGUCGAGUAAAGCAGUUUACAUCAGAUAAUAUGAUUAAAGAUCCCCCUCACUUGCAAUGCAAAGGAAGAAGAAAACCGCAAAGACUAAAGCUACAAAUUGAAAAAAAAGCUAAGAUACCGAGAACUUGCAAGGCAUGUGGUAAAAAAGGUCAUAAUAUCAGGACCUGUAAGGAGGUGAGAUAAAUUACAUAUUUUUUUAAGAUACAGUUCUAAUUUUUUUUUAAAGUUUCUUCUAAAAUUUUUACCUUUCCUAUUAUCACAUAAUGCUAAUAAAUAUAUUAUUUUGCAGAAUGUUGAUGAAGCGCCAUCUAACGAGCAAAGUUUUAGUGAGAGCCUUGAAGAAACAAAUGAAGAAGAAUAUUGAGAGUUAUGUCGAAGGAUUUGUUUGAUUGAAUGAGACUUUAUUAUGUUAUAUGCCUUUUCUUUUGACUUUAUUAUGCUAUAUGUAGGUUAUUUUGGAUAUGUUGGACUUUAUUAUGCUAUAUGCAGUUUUUUGUUUGUGUUGUAAAAUAUUUUGUUGGACCUUAUUAUGUGCAGCUUGCAGAUGUUUAUUAGUGUUUUAAACUUUGUUGGAUUGUUGUGUUGGACUUUAUUAUGAAGAAGAGUUUUGAACUAUUAUGUUUUAUGUGCUUGUUCCACUUUGUUACAAAAGGGGUUGCCUACUGUUUUAAAAAAAGCUUGUCAACUGGUUUUGUGUUCCACUCCAAGCUUGUCAACUGGUUUAUAGUAUCAGCUCCAGAUUUUGUGCAUUCUCUCGUAUAUAAAUCCACUGGUUUAUUGUAUUUCACUAAUUAUUUGUCAUUCACAGCAGCAAAUUUGGUUGUAAGUAGUUGCUAAAGCUAAAUUGGAUAGAAAAACACAAACAAAUACAAUAACCAGAUUUACAUAUAUCUUGCUAUUGUGUCUUAAUAUCUAGCAGCAGCAGUGAAGAUGGCAGUGGAUUUGAUUGUGAUGAUCCAUUAACAAAAUGCAGAAAACUAAAGGAUGCCUUAGUGCUUUGAAUAUCAAAUCGAGAAAAACUCUGCAUAUGGUUAUGUAAGAUAGAACUAUUAGAUAUUGUCAAACAAAUUAUAUAAUUCCAUUCAAAGCAUGCUCAAUUAGUCAUGCCUAAGUUGCGAGCUCGUAGCAAUCAAACUCAAACACAUUUAAAUUCAAAAAUACAUUCUCAUGCAAAAUGUGUAUAUUUUUAUCAAACUUCACCUACACUAGAAUUUUAUUAGCAAAACAAUUAAACCCAUGCCACUUCACAUCCUGUUCCCUGCAUUACACUCCACUCUAUGAUACUAGCAUGUAAAAUAAGCAAUAUAACGUCAAUUUAGGUGAAUAGAAAUAAAUAUCCAUGCAAUGAUUAAUAUACUGUUGUUUCACAUGGUUAAAGCAUCCACUAUAAUACACAGAUUUAGGUGAAUAAAAAUUUAAUACAUAAAAUUGCUAAAAUAAAUACAAUGAAGAUCUUUCUUUCAGCUUCGAUUCUUUCCACCAUUGUCGUCGUCCUCGUAGAAACUUCUUCAACUUUAAUUUUCAAAUUCUCUAUUUGCUCAGCCAAAUUAGAUAGAUUAUAACUUAUGCAUCGAAGCAUUUUUUCAUCCGAAAUUUUUUGCGCAGAAGUUGCUAUUUCGGGGGCUAGACUUUCCUUUGAGUUCAAAAGAUUUGAACAUGACUCCAAAUAUUCUUUAGAUUUCACUAAUUGUUUAUCGCACCACAUGAAAAAGUCACAGUAUUUAUCAUUAUUUUUUUCAUAAUUUCGACAGUCGUAAAAUUGUCUUCCUUUACUUCUAGGUUGCUGUGAAGUUCGUAUUAUAGCUAUUUGGUUGCAUUUGCACCAAAUUGUCCUAUCUUCACGAAAACUUGCUGAAGAGGCCAUCAAUAAUCCUGUCAAAAUUGUGAAGAGAUAUUGCCAUCAACUUAAUAAUAUGCAUAAAAAUUGGAGAAAAAGAACUUCAAAAAUCUCUAAAACAACUUAAUUAACUAUCUGUAUCCAAACAAACAAUAUAAAUAUAAACUUUUUUCUCUCCUCUUUUGUUGGCAGGAAUCCCUAUAUGCCCAACUUUGCUAAAACUUUAGAACAAAAUUAUUAGAUAGAACAUACACUUUGCUUAAACAAAAUUUAAAAACGUAUGUAUAUGAGAUAGGAAAAAAAUAUAUAUCUCUGUCCCUACCACAAAUUUUAUAUUGACUACAUCCAAACAAACAAACAAAACAAACAAGAUAUUGCCAUCAACUUAAUAAUCUCUAAAAAAAACUUAAUUAACUAACUGUAUCCAAACAAACAAAAAUAAAAAUAAAAUUGUAUUAUAUUUUUUCUCUCUCUCCUCUGACAGAAUCUUUGUAUGCCCAAAUUUUGCUUAAACAAAAUUAAAGAAACAUAUGUAUAUGAGAUAGGGAAAAAGAAAAAAAUUAGUGAUCAUACCUGUGAUGGUGGAGGCGGAUUACGCUCGUGAGGUGGAGUCUUUGACCGGCACUCGUGAGGGGGAAGCGGCCAGUGCUUGUGAGGCGGAGGUGGCCUCCGUGCACGAGGUGGAGGGGACGCAGCGUUCUUCGACCGGCACUCACGAGAGGGGGUGGCCGGCGCUUGCGAUGUGGAGGUAGCCGUCGGGAACGUGGUGGAGGCGAUGCGGCACUAGGGAGGUUGGCCUGGUGGGUUUUGGGGGGAUGGGUUUGAGGGUAAUGGGUUUGGAGAAGAGAGAGAGAGAGAGAGAGAGAGAGAGAGAGAGAGAGAGAGAGAGAGAGGGUGUGUGUGUCAGUGAACAAAGAAAAUGUGUGAGAGAAAGAAACGAAAAAGUUACAAACGGCUGUUAGUAGGCUUUUGGUAGAGCAUGAAUCUCAAGGAAAUCCUAUGGUCACAAAUUCACAAGCACAGAUGGGCCUGUGCUCUUAAAAGCAUAUAAGCUCUACUAUAUAUAUGUAUAUAUAUAUAUAUAUAUAUAUAUAUAUAUAUAUAUAUAUAUAUAUAUAUAUAUAUAUAUAUAUAUAUAUAUUCGCGCACAUUCAAACAGUAGAUAUUGAUCUUGAUAUUCGCAGAUUAUUUNGAUAGCAUAGUAGCUCUACUAUAUAUAUAUAUAUAUUCGAGCUUUUCGAGCUUGUCGAGCCUAAUUCGAACGAGCCGAGUAAUACUCAAGCUCGGCUUGAAAUGAAUUUCGAGCUUUUCUUUUUGUUCAAGCUCGGCUCAUUUAAUUUCGAGUCGAGCUCGAGCGAGCCAAAUAUCGAGUCGAACGCGAGUCGAACGCGAGCCGGCUCGCUCAUUUGCCAGCCCUAGCUGUUGACCUAUCUAAGUCCGACCCAUACAUCCUAGUGGCUACUACCACUAUAAUCCACAACCUAGAUUCAACACUCUAGGUUCACUACACAUCAUAACCUAGGUUCCAACACUCUAGGUCCUAUGUCAUUUUCACCUAGAUCUUGACUCUAGGUCCGCUUGUUCAACCUAUGUUCAUGACCCCAGGUUCAUGUCCAACCUAUGUUUAAUAACACUAGGUUUAAUGCCACUCGAUCUACUUGACAUCCUAGUUGUCCAUAUCGAGUAUUCAUAAGCCUCAUGUUCCUAUUUCCAAUGUUGAAUUCUCUAUUCACCCUAGAGUUAUCGACCUGUGAUUAACUCAUAUAAAUCAAGUAUAAUAUACAACUUGUCAACAUGCAUGUUAUCUAGCAUUCCCUACAACGUGUCAUUAUGCAUUACAACUAGCAUAUUCUCAUAAUAUUAACAUUCAUAUGCCAUUUAUCUCAUACUUUCAACUAGCAUCAUUCAUACUAUGUCAACAUGCAUUCUUUGGUAGCCUAACAUAGCAUUUAACUCAUGCAUUCAUAUGUUUUACCACUAGCUACCAUUAUAUGCAUCAAUAGUAAAUCUCACAUCAUUUCGUCAUGGAAGUGAGCUAAACAUUUUGGUGAGCACAACCCACCUCAAAUCGCUUUCUGAUUGCUUAUAGUCACUUGCAAUCGGCCUCUCACGGUAUUCGUUGUCCGGUUUGGCCCGAUCUUGCAAUUGAUCACCAACUGUGCGUCAAUUUGCGGCCUCAGGUUUUAAGGGUCUAUAACUUGAUGCCGCGAUGCUCGGGAUCCGUUUUCGUGAUUUUUCGACGUCGCCUCGGCCCUCCAGGCGGAAACGAAGCCAAAACGUCCUUUUCUUCAAUAUCUUCGUGUAGGCUCGACGAAUCGCCGAACCGACUUUGCCAACUUAUCAGAAUACCUAGCAAUUAGGUUUCUAUAGGGUCAAUUUAGAUCAAACUCUAACACAUAGCAAAAUCCCAACUUGAAACCCUAGCUCUAGCAUCAUCUCUAAAUAACCCAAAUCUCAUGAUGAAAAUAUGCUAGAAACACUCUAGAGGCUAUAAGAACAUUAAUCAUGAAGGAUUUAAUCAAAUCCUAAACACUUACCAAUUUGCGAACGCCGAGACGAAAGCACCCCGCUCAAAUGAGCGCACGAGAGCCCGAACCGACGCCUCCCACGCGUUAACAAGCUCCUUCUCCUUCAAGCCUUUGAAUUGGGAGAUGGAUCUAGAGAGAUGGAGGAGUAUUCUAGAGAGAGAAGAGAGCUUUUCUCUCUACCUCUCCAAUGGUGUGUGUGUGUGUAGGCUGUAGGAGGAAGAAGAAGGGGUCAAAACCCCUUUACAAAUCAACUUCCCCUUAAUUACAAGACUGCCAUCAGCCCAAACUGGGCAUUUUCAGGUCUCGGGGACCGGUCCUUGGCUUGAGCGACCGGACCCCAUAGGUCUAGAAAAUCAGCAUUUUUAGACUUAGCCAAAAUUUCAACCUUUUUACCAAUUUUGGUCCGUUUUCGCUCGUUUUCGCUCCUAAGGCCUCCGAUUCAUCUCUAAUUGUACCGAGACCCCCAAUACAUAUAUUCGAGCACGUUUAAACUAUUUUUUUAUUCACGCCUUGCCGUAUUUCGGCCAAGGUCCAAUCAUUGCUUUUCGGGUUCCGUUUUCGCGCCCGACGCGUACCGAAAACACCCGAAUGCUCCCAAACCUCACCGGAACCAUUCUAACGGCUCUCCAAAUCAACAUACACCAUAACUUCAUAAUUAUAGAAGUUCGGUACCUUACAAAUUAUCUUACACGUCAUGACUCUCGGUACUUGAAAUGGCAGACGACAAAAGUAAGCGCAAUACGUAAUAAGAAAUCUACUUCAAGGUUAACAAUAAGUUUUAGAUUUGAAACCACAACGGUCAUAAUUUAAAGCAUCUCCACUUCAUCGCUCUGACCACGAGAGCUACAAUUACGCCUCGUUCCUCCUCGAAAACUGCGUAUAGGAUGAAUCCCUCUCCUCCGAGGAAUCCGACCGCAAAAGUCAUAAAGAACAAUAAAUCCUGAUAAUAAUAAUGUGUAAAAUAAAUAAAUCAUGCCAGUCAAUGAUAACUAUAAAAUCUACUCGGAAGUAUCAACAACUAGUAAACAAAAUAGAUAACAAUCGUGUUCCGAACCCACUCGGAUCUGCAUAUUUUUUACCGUUUGCAGAAAAGUAGCUAUUUACUUGCCUCUAUUAGUGCUUACAAAUUCGUCACAUUUUAAGAUUGAGGUUUUACAGCGGUUUCAGCACCUACAACGACGAAAAGACCCAAAUAAAAUAUAUUUUCAAACAAGCCCUUUAACUAUUAAAAAUUCUACGAAAAUUAUAUAGUAAAUCAGGAUAAUUAGAUCACACGAUCUUAUCCAUAAUUUCAAGACGAGUCCUAUAGCGCUUGAAUCGCAAAAUUCCGCCUUAAGGACAAAAAGUUAUGUAUCUUUUACGGAUCAGUCCCUAAAACCAAAACUGCUAUUUAUAGAUUGGUCCCUGGCUGAUAUUUUAAGCCAUUAUAGGCACCAAAAUUUCACCGCAUCCGGUCCAACAUCAGCAGCGUGCGCCAAAAGCUUUUCCAGUUAAUUAUAAUUCAAUCGAUAGAGGCAAAACACUCUAAUCAAUAACUUAAUCACGUCUAAUAUCGUUAUGAUAAAUUGAAACCUAAACGUAAAAAUAAACCAUGCAAAAAUUAACGUGGUCCACCGUAAACCGGAUCUAGCCAGAUCCAAAAUAAUUCCAUCUUCUUUCUUCUCCUUCCCAACUCAAUUAAAAAAGUUCUCUCAUACUCCUCUUAUGGCCAACCAUGUUCACCCCAUACGGGGUUCACCCGAAUCCGACUGUAGGAGGCCGGCGACCACUCCGGCGACGGUGGUGGCGGUACAAUAAGAAGAGAGGAUAAGAUGGGGAGGUAGAAGAAGAAAGAAAAGAGAGAGAAAAAAAAAACUAGAGAACUAAUUAUUGGAGACUCACCUCGCUCUCGCUCUUUUUUUCUCUCCUCCACGAUCGUCGGAUCCUGCUCCCGCCGGUGGCCACGCUUGGACAAAGAAUCCGGCUACAAUAUUUAUUAUUAUUAUUAUUUUGGUCGUACUCCCUCCCUAAAUUACCUAUUUAUAGGUGAUUAAUUAUGGCUAAAUCUCAAUCAUACUCUAACUAGUAUUAGAGUAUAAUUAAUCUGAAAAUCAAAUCCAAUCAAAUCCGCUUAAUCCGACGAUACAAAUAAAUCAAAAAAAAUAUUAAUGACAGGUUUAUCACAAAACUACAAUCAUACCUGCAUAUUUAAAUUUUAAUUGGAUACGAGUAUUACAAAUACUAUCGAUCCGUAGCGAAGCGUGAACCUAAACUAGUUGCAAUAAAUUUAUUAUAUUAUUCAUUUUUAGACUUUUCAAAUCUCAAAGAUGUACAAUAGAGUUGUUUAAAUCCUAAACGCUUAUAAAGAAAAUUUUUCUAACUAGUUGCUGUCUAAAUACGUUUCAAUUUUUAGGUUUUUUUUUUAAUAAUUGAAUAAAGCUGAAUUGGAUGCUAAACCAAAUAAUUUUGGUUUGCUUUAGUUUAUUUGAUUUUAAUAAUAUAAUUUUUUUUAAAAUUAAAUUAGAACUUAUAAGUAUGGUACAUUUUAUUUUAUUACUCUAUUCAAAAAUAAUAAUAGCUAAUAAUCUAAUUUUUUAAUUCAGCUUAUUUGAUUUUUUUUUUAUUUUACUUUUUAAAAUUGAACCGUAUCGAUCGGAAAAUAAUUCAGGUUCAAGCGAUGAGCAUAGUUAGUUAAUUCACGAAUUAUUCGCGAAUUUUUAAAAAGCCGAAUAAAACAGCCGUUUUUGUAUUUUUUUAAAAAAUUCGAAAAAAGUCGUAUUUUUUUUGGGUAAAAGUAAUUAUUCGCGAAUUAAACGGUUCACGAAUAAUUCGGCCCAAAAGAACGGCGUGGUUGCUGGCUUGCUGUGACGCGGACUCGUGGGCCUCGCGGGUGGCAAAAAAAAAAAAAAAAAAANUAGUGAACGUAUAAUAUCCAUAUAAAUCACGUAUCCGAAUAAUUGGCGAAUCCGUUUUUUAGCCAUUUUUUUCAACGAAUUUAAAAAUUAGUAGGCGAAUUUUAUCCGAAUUAUACCCGUACCGAAUUUUUGCCGAAUCCGAAUUAACUAACUAUGGGACGAGUU
This 78544-nucleotide long non-coding RNA is filed under the name Ananas comosus (pineapple). Its description in RNAcentral is "long non-coding RNA (ACOM_LNC031630)". Lineage: Eukaryota; Viridiplantae; Streptophyta; Magnoliopsida; Poales; Bromeliaceae. The record is from RNAcentral.